GACCAAAAACCUUAGAUAACACCUCCCCAUUAUAAUGUAUCAAGGUAACUGAAGUUUAUCAAGCCUAAUGAGAGGAGUGUGAGAGGAACCAUUAAGAAUAAUGUGAGGGUAAUACUUGGAGCCAAAUUCAAAGAGUCAGAUUUGUUCUUUCCGAUGAUAAUGAGGGUUGCUUUAAAAGAAUGCUUUAUUUUGGUAAAAAAUCAAAGAAAUGAAAGAUUGGCAUAUAUCAUAAGUUGUUGAUGGUAUUACAUCCAAUUUCCGCUUACUACCUGAAGGUGAUCACAAUAUUUUCUUUCCAUGCUUUUACAAUUAGGAUGCAUGUAAAAUGAAGAUCAAAAGGAGAGUUAGAAUGAAGGCCUCUGGUGGCAGAAAUUGGAUCCGAUACACUGCAUUAAUUAGUAUAAUUAUUAUUUGGUAUUCUUUUUUUUUUUUUUGAGUUGGACACUUCCAGCAUGUAAGCAAAUAAAAAUCAUAUAGUACGGGCAUUAUAAAAUAUCAUAUCGUGCGGGCUUCAUAAUUUAUCAUAUUUUUUUUUAAUACCAAUCUUAAAAAAUAAGUUUAAAAAUUAAAAAAAAUUUUAACUGACAAUAUUAUUAUUAUUCUUGUGAUUCAAAAAAAAAUAACAUUCUCUUUCUUUCUCAUCUUCAAUAUAUACUUUUUACUAAUUCUGUCACGCCCCNNNNNNNNNNNNNNNNNNNNNNNNNNNNNNNNNNNNNNNNNNNNNNNNNNNNNNNNNNNNNNNNNNNNNNNNNNNNNNNNNNNNNNNNNNNNNNNNNNNNNNNNNNNNNNNNNNNNNNNNNNNNNNNNNNNNNNNNNNNNNNNNNNNNNNNNNNNNNNNNNNNNNNNNNNNNNNNNNNNNNNNNNNNNNNNNNNNNNNNNNNNNNNNNNNNNNNNNNNNNNNNNNNNNNNNNNNNNNNNNNNNNNNNNNNNNNNNNNNNNNNNNNNNNNNNNNNNNNNNNNNNNNNNNNNNNNNNNNNNNNNNNNNNNNNNNNNNNNNNNNNNNNNNNNNNNNNNNNNNNNNNNNNNNNNNNNNNNNNNNNNNNNNNNNNNNNNNNNNNNNNNNNNNNNNNNNNNNNNNNNNNNNNNNNNNNNNNNNNNNNNNNNNNNNNNNNNNNNNNNNNNNNNNNNNNNNNNNNNNNNNNNNNNNNNNNNNNNNNNNNNNNNNNNNNNNNNNNNNNNNNNNNNNNNNNNNNNNNNNNNNNNNNNNNNNNNNNNNNNNNNNNNNNNNNNNNNNNNNNNNNNNNNNNNNNNNNNNNNNNNNNNNNNNNNNNNNNNNNNNNNNNNNNNNNNNNNNNNNNNNNNNNNNNNNNNNNNNNNNNNNNNNNNNNNNNNNNNNNNNNNNNNNNNNNNNNNNNNNNNNNNNNNNNNNNNNNNNNNNNNNNNNNNNNNNNNNNNNNNNNNNNNNNNNNNNNNNNNNNNNNNNNNNNNNNNNNNNNNNNNNNNNNNNNNNNNNNNNNNNNNNNNNNNNNNNNNNNNNNNNNNNNNNNNNNNNNNNNNNNNNNNNNNNNNNNNNNNNNNNNNNNNNNNNNNNNNNNNNNNNNNNNNNNNNNNNNNNNNNNNNNNNNNNNNNNNNNNNNNNNNNNNNNNNNNNNNNNNNNNNNNNNNNNNNNNNNNNNNNNNNNNNNNNNNNNNNNNNNNNNNNNNNNNNNNNNNNNNNNNNNNNNNNNNNNNNNNNNNNNNNNNNNNNNNNNNNNNNNNNNNNNNNNNNNNNNNNNNNNNNNNNNNNNNNNNNNNNNNNNNNNNNNNNNNNNNNNNNNNNNNNNNNNNNNNNNNNNNNNNNNNNNNNNNNNNNNNNNNNNNNNNNNNNNNNNNNNNNNNNNNNNNNNNNNNNNNNNNNNNNNNNNNNNNNNNNNNNNNNNNNNNNNNNNNNNNNNNNNNNNNNNNNNNNNNNNNNNNNNNNNNNNNNNNNNNNNNNNNNNNNNNNNNNNNNNNNNNNNNNNNNNNNNNNNNNNNNNNNNNNNNNNNNNNNNNNNNNNNNNNNNNNNNNNNNNNNNNNNNNNNNNNNNNNNNNNNNNNNNNNNNNNNNNNNNNNNNNNNNNNNNNNNNNNNNNNNNNNNNNNNNNNNNNNNNNNNNNNNNNNNNNNNNNNNNNNNNNNNNNNNNNNNNNNNNNNNNNNNNNNNNNNNNNNNNNNNNNNNNNNNNNNNNNNNNNNNNNNNNNNNNNNNNNNNNNNNNNNNNNNNNNNNNNNNNNNNNNNNNNNNNNNNNNNNNNNNNNNNNNNNNNNNNNNNNNNNNNNNNNNNNNNNNNNNNNNNNNNNNNNNNNNNNNNNNNNNNNNNNNNNNNNNNNNNNNNNNNNNNNNNNNNNNNNNNNNNNNNNNNNNNNNNNNNNNNNNNNNNNNNNNNNNNNNNNNNNNNNNNNNNNNNNNNNNNNNNNNNNNNNNNNNNNNNNNNNNNNNNNNNNNNNNNNNNNNNNNNNNNNNNNNNNNNNNNNNNNNNNNNNNNNNNNNNNNNNNNNNNNNNNNNNNNNNNNNNNNNNNNNNNNNNNNNNNNNNNNNNNNNNNNNNNNNNNNNNNNNNNNNNNNNNNNNNNNNNNNNNNNNNNNNNNNNNNNNNNNNNNNNNNNNNNNNNNNNNNNNNNNNNNNNNNNNNNNNNNNNNNNNNNNNNNNNNNNNNNNNNNNNNNNNNNNNNNNNNNNNNNNNNNNNNNNNNNNNNNNNNNNNNNNNNNNNNNNNNNNNNNNNNNNNNNNNNNNNNNNNNNNNNNNNNNNNNNNNNNNNNNNNNNNNNNNNCUUACUUUUCUAAGUGGAUCAAAAGUAUUUUGAUAUAGUUAAAUUAAAGAAAAAAAUUUAUUUUGUCAGAGUAUGAUAUUCAUGUUAUGAUGAAAUCUUUAAUAAUUCAUAUUAUUAUCUUUGGAUUAGAUUUUUUUUAAUUUUUCUUGUGAUUGUUAAAGAUGGUGAAGUGUUAAAUUUUUGGCCUUGCAUAUUCUUUAGGGCUUGCUCUAAGGAGUGUGCGGCCAUCACGUAUCCGACCCGGAUGUUCGGUUCGGGGCGUGACAAAUUCGUACUGUAAGACCAUACGAUAUAUACUAAAUAAAUUAAUCAUCAACAAAUCAAUACACAAUGAUAAAUAAAUCAACAUACAUUUUUCAGAAUAUAGAGUUCACUGACAUAUAAUAUACAAUCAAAUGAUAUAUAUUUAACAAAUUAGUUAUCUAGUGAUCGAAUACAUACCUUCAAGCAAAUUGAUGCAUAAUUUAGAAAUAUUAUAUUCAUUAGUACAUACUAUAUAGUUUGAUAAUAUAUCCUCAUCAUAUUUCUGAUACAUACUGCAGGCUUUUUUAAGACACACCCAAUAGUCAUCCAAUCCCUAUCUCCAAAUAAAAAGCAUAUCCUAAAAAAUAUGUAUUAAUUUAUUUGAAGAUGUAUAUUAGCUCAUUGCUAAGUUUGUAUCAAAAAAACUUACAGUAUGUAUCAAAAAGUCAAUGAAUAUAUAUUACUAUAUGAUAUAAUGCGUACUAGUGAACAUAAUAUUCUGAAACUAUAUAUCAAUUUAUUUAGAGAUAUCUACUAAGUUGCUAGAUAACUAAUUCAUUAUGUAUCAUCUAGUCCUAUAUUAUAUAUUGAUGAAUUCAUGUUCUAAAGGUUAAGUAUUGAUUUAUCUAGAGGUAUAUAUUGCAUCACUACCAAAUAUAUAUUGUUGGUGCAAAAAUCCGCCUGCGACGGAGAAGCUGGAGUCGAGGGAGCCGCGGUCGCCGUCGGGAUCUGCAAAAGAAGUCUAAACCGGAGGUGGGAUUGCUCCGGCAAGACUCUCCGACGCUCAAGUCAGUUCUCUGUCUCAACAAGAAUGGAGUGCUCGAACGAAAAUUUUAGCAGAGUUUUGGGAUAGAAAAUUAGAGCUUAGAGAAUAACGUAUCUGGGUCCCCCUUUUACAGGCGGAGGGGACAACAGACUGAUAGCGAUGUCCACAACCGUCUGGCAGUGGGCUGCCCAGGGUCAGGAGGAGUUUGUUGCGAAGAGUAGUGGAGUGGGAUCGUGGCCGUCACCAAGACAUGCCACGUGGAGUCUGUUGCGGGGAGUGGAGCGACGUCCGUUGUCGCGACUUGCCAGAGGGUGGAGGAACUGCGUGGUAUCCGUCGUAGGAAGUGGAAUAGAAUCGUGGCCAUUAUUGUGGUUUGCCAGGGAGUGAUGGAGCCGCGCAGAAUCUGUCGCAAGAAGUGGAGCAGAGUCGUGGCCAUUACUGCGGCCUGCCAGGGAGUGAUGGAGCCGCGUGGAAUUUAUUGCAGGAAGUGGGGCAGAGUCGUAGCCGUUACUACGGCCUGCCAGGAGGUCCAAGCCUGUCGGUCGAAGUUCGACUGGAGUGUCUGACGGAGAGAGGUGGCUAGCUACCCGUCUGAGAGGAGCUUGGAGUCCGGCUCCCGUAGGAGUCCGGACGAAGUCUUCCUUCAGUCGAAGUCGGGGACGAGGUCUGGCUUCCGUGGUAGUUCGGACGGAGUCUUCCCGCAGCCGGAGUCAGAGACGAGAUCUGGCUCCCGUAGGAGUCCGGGCAAAGUCUACCUGCAAUUAAAGUCAGGGGCAAAGNNNNNNNNNNNNNNNNNNNNCCGGGUGAAGUCUACCUGCAAUUAAAGUCAGGGGCGAAGUCCGGCUCCCUUAGGAGUCCGGACGAAGUUUACCAACAAUUGAGGUCGGGGACGAAGCCCGGCUCCCGUAGGAGUCCGGGCGAAGCCUUCCGGCAGUUGAGGUCGGAGACGAAGUCUGGCUUCCGUAGGAGUCCGGACGAAGUCUUCCUGCAGCCGGAGUCGGAGACGAGAUCUGGCUCCCGUGGGAGUCCGGGCGAAGUCUACCUGCAAUUAAAGUCAGGGAUGAAGUCCGGCUCCCUUAGGAGUCCGGAUGAAGUUUACCAGCAAUUGAGGUCGGGGACGGAGCCCGGCUCCCGUAGGAGUCCGGGCGAAGUCUUCCAGCAGUUGAGGUCGGGGAUGAAGUCCGGCUCCCGUAGGAAUCCGGACGAAGUCUUCCUGCGGUCGGAGUCGGAGACGAGAUCUAGCUCUCGUAGGAGUCCGGGUGAAGUCUACCUGCAAUUAAAGUCAGGGGCGAAGUCCGGCUCCUUUAGGAGUCCGGACGAAGUUUACCAGCAAUUGAGGUCGGGGACGGAGCCCGGCUCCUGUAGGAGUCCGGGCGAAGUCUUCCAGCAGUUGAGGUCGGGGACGAAGUCCGACUCCCGUAGGAGUCCGGACGAAGUCUUCCUGCGGCCGGAGUCGGAGACGAGAUCUGGCUCCCGUAGGAGUCCGGGCGAAGUCUGGCUCCCUUAGGAGUCCGGACGAAGUUUACCAGCAGUUGAGGUCGGAGACGGAGCCCGGCUCCCGUAGGAGUCCGGACGAAGCCUUCCAGCAGUUGAAGUCGGGGAUGAAGUCCGGCUCCCGUAGGAGUCCGGACGAAGUCUUCCAGCAGGUGGUCGACCACCGCCGAACUUGGGUGGAAUCCGCCUGUCAUGGUGAGUCCGGUCGACGUUGGUGGGGGUUCAUCCGUCGACAGAAUUUGGGAAUGUUGCGGAGGCUCGGCCGCCAGAGAGGUUCGGCGAGAUGUCGUCGGAGGUCUGACGUCAGUAAAAUCCCCGGAGGGUCGCCCCUAUCACGAACUUCGGCUGGGAGGUAUUUUAUAUCCAACAUAUAUCAAAAAAAUUUAUAGUAUAUAUCAAAAAAUUGAUGAGUGUGUAUCACAAUACUAUGUAGUGUGUACUGAUAAUAUAAUAUUUUAAAAAUUAUAUAUUAAUUUAGUUGGAGAUGUAUAUUAGAUUGCUAGAUGACUAAUUUAUUAAUAUGUAUUAUUUGAUCGUAUAUCAUGUAUUACUAAACUCCAUAUUUCAAAAAUUGUAUAUUGAUUUAUUUGGAGAUAUAUAUUAAUUUGUUUGAUAAUUAAUUUAUUUAGUGUAUAUCAUUUAAUCAUAUAGUAUAUAUCAAUAAAAAUAUAUUAUUAAAAAAAUAAUAUCAUAUUAUUUUAAAUUACGAGACUAAUAACUCCAUUGAUAGAAAGGAUUUUUGAUUUUUAUAUAUUUUUAAAAAUUAAUAUUAAAAAAAAAAGCAAAAUAGAAAGCCCGUCCCAUAUCAUAUUCUAUAGUGCCUGGCCCUAUAGCUUUUGUUCCGACUAGCCUCCAUUAUUACAAGAAAUUAUAACAAUGCUCUAAUCAUCAUUGCUACAAUUCAAGCAACCAUCUCCGCAUCAAGGACAUGUUAACACGUCCAUCUCUUUUCCAAAACAGGAUCCUAUGCGACUCUCUUGACAAUGUUCUAAGAGAAAGAGGGUUAUGGGUGCAUAUAUUAUUCCAAAAAUAGAAGAAAACAUGCUCCAAACCCUCCAUUAAAUCUCAUUCAUUCAUUUAUUAAAAUCUAGCAUUAUUUAGAAUGAAAAGUAAGUGUGGUUCUAUUAUUUAUAAGCUCUAUCAUAGAACCCAAAUUCUCCAUGCCUGCUUAUGUCCUUUCUCCCUAUGUUACAUCCAUACUUUUUUUAUUAGAUCUUCUGACAUGAGAGUUCAUAAUUAUGGGUUGUGCUAGGAAGCAAGACAUGAUGCUCGGCACUUGAAAGAUAUAUUCAAAGACAGUCUUAUCAACUUUUAGGUAUAUAAAUUUUACUUCGAAGUAUAGUUAAAUUGUAUGCUAUCCAUAAUUCAUAUUGGCUCCAAAAUGGCAAAAUGUAGAUAGCGACAUGACGCAAGCUGGAAACUAACUAUUACAAGACUAAAGUCUCGAAUGUCAGAAUAAAUAACCUCGAUGGAUUGAUGAAUGAUCAAAGAAGCAAAAGAUAGACAGAUGUACUAAAAGUUAUACUAAAACAAAACAGAAGGAUGCACCCUUCAUUAUUACAAAGCUUCGGGACGACCUCAAAUCCAUCCCUAGUCCAGUUAAAGAAACGAUAAAAAUGCGGCACUUGACUUCAAGCGUCAACAGGCUUAAAUAUUUGAAAAUCAAUAAACUUGCAGUUUGAGCAGCAAUUUACUGUGAAUCAGUCAAAAGAUCAUAUCACCACAAUCAGCACAAACAAAAUUUUGGUAUGAAGCCACUUUUAACACGUCUGGUAUUGAUUAAGUUUUCGAACGCAUCUUAAAUCAGAUCAAUCAAAGAUCGGACGGUGAAAUCACCAACAUCGAACCUAUAUUAAUACAGUCCAAGGCUACGAACAAACAACCAAACCAUACCAUCUUUGUAUGAACGGUCGCAAACUGUUUGCAAGCCGGCUGCAUGUGCCGGCUCUUAUUUUCGGGUAAUGGCAGGACUGAUAGGAGACUCCCAAAUGCAAAUAAAACGAUGGAUCGGGAUUGCGGAAGGGGUCAGAUAGGCCGAGCGGUACCAAGAGAGCUAGGAACGAAGCAUCAAGAAUUUCCGACGGUGAUGUCUGGCAACCAAGAGGGCCAAGAUGGUAACAACGGGGAGCGCGGAGGGGAGGAGUUCGUCCGCGAUUGCCUCUCCAAGUGCCGUCUUCUUCGAGGUACUCCUACCAUCAAAAGCUCGUUUCAGUCUUUUAACCCACGGCUCCAAGCACAUCUGUGAUUAGUGUGACAACCUAAAUAAACCUUAUUUCUUGUAAGAAAGUUGGCACAAAUGUCAUAAUUUGUUAUUCCAUUAAAAAAACUUUUAUGAUUUAAUCAAUGAUGCCAUAAAUCCUGCUUCUUUUGUUUCUUUCUUUUUCUUUUUUCCUUUUUUUUCUUUUUUUUUGAUCCAUGGCAUUUCUAACAUGAUCCAUCUAGUUGCUCUGAAUCUGUACCCAGACAGUUUUCCCAAAGACACGUAGACGACACCGAGAACCAACCUCACAAAAGAACUCAUGUAUCAGAUCAUGUUGUGAAGAAUUGGUUGGCAAAAAAUGAAAAGAAGCAAAAAAAAAAAAACAAAACACAAUCCAUGAAUGGAUUUUGGUAAGAAACUAAUGUGGGUGUUGACAGUCUCAGUGCAUAAUCCCCAGCAGUUUGAGAAAAGAGAAAUGCGCAAUAUGUAUUCGUUAAAAAGCCGCAAGAAGCUUGUUAUGUAAAUCAAGAAUUAAUAAUUUAAAGGCCAGAAACCUUAGGAAUUAUUAUAUAUUGGCUUAUUAUUAUAUGCUGUCAUCAUUUAUUACAAGAUAGGUCUUCUGUUAAUUUAUCUGGUGUAUUUGGUCACCCUCAAAAUGUGCCGGAAAAUUCAAUGGAUAGGGGGGGAGCUUCCUCUCUAUUGUUUCAGCAAGGCUGCCCAGGAGUAUACUUCUCCCUCAGAUAAGAAAGAGCCUCAGUCAUUAUUCCUUGAUAGGCUUCUCAAGGAGGUAGUUAGAAGCUUUAUUUAUGAUUGGAUUUCUCCAUUUGCUUAGUCCAUGUGAGCUUAAAGUCGUUUUUUAUUACAGUGGGAGGACCGCAGGCUUAGAGGACUGUUCCACCAUGAUAUCACUGCCUGUGAAACUAAGGUCUGCACCAUCUUUUAGUAUUCUAGUUCUCACCUGCGUUCCCAUCCAUUGACACUGCAUGUAUAUGGGUGGGCUUCUUUACAUAAUUAUUCUUUGAAUGUGUUUAUGUAUAGAUACUUCCAGGAGAAUAUGGGUUUAUGGUAGUACUGGUUGAAGGUCGUGACCUCAAGAAACGGCCAACUGAGUUCGGACUCGACAAGGUCCUCCAACCCUUUGAUGGAAGAAAGUUCAACUUUACAAAAAUAGGGCAAGAGGAGGUGCUCUUUAGAUUUGAAGAAAGUGAGAAUGAUGUGGUCCAGUAUGUCCAACAUGCUCCUGUUAUGCCAUCAGCCUCCCCAAAUGUGAUUGCCAUCAAUGUGGCCAUAUAUCUUUUGGAACCACUUCUGUUUAUCUUCUUUGAUGAUACAAGAAAUUGUUGGACUCUUCUGUUUUGUUGCAGGUUAGCCCUAUAGCAUAUGGCCAUGUGCUUUUGAUCCCUCAUGUGCUAGACUGCAUGCCGCAGCGGAUUGAUCGAGAGAGCUUCUUGCUUGCCAUGCACAUGGCAAGGGAAGCCAAAAAUUCCUAUUUCAGAGUGGGUUAUAACAGUCUUGGUGCCUUUGCCACCAUUAAUCACCUCCACUUCCAGGUUGCAACCCCUUUACAGCUUUUCGUAGUUUCUUCAUUGGAUGAUAUAAGCUCAGUUGAAAUUUCUUGUUUUCUUGCUCACCUCAUGGUGGCAGGCUUACUACUUGACAGAACCAUUCCCUGUGGAAAAGGCUCCCUUUCAGAGGAUUGCAACUUUAGGGAGUGGGGUGAAGAUUUCUCAACUGUUACAUUAUCCUGUAAGAGGUCUUGUUUUAGAAGGUGGGAGUAGCUUGCAGGAUCUAUCAACUGUUGUCUCCAGUGCCUGCAUUUUCCUUCAAGAUAACAACUGCCCCUACAAUGCCCUUAUAUCUGAUUCUGGCAAGAAGAUUUUUCUCUUACCACAGGUAAUUCCAGUUAGGUGCAAAUCCCUUCAAUGCUUACACUAUGCACAUAUUUUCUUAAAUACAAAUCAAGUCAAAUGUAUAUAUUUUUUGAUGUCCAAAAUGAAUGAGCAGUGGUAUGCUGAGAAAAAGGCCAAAGGUGAAGUUAGCCAAGAGAUCCUUGAAAAGCAAGUGAAUCCAGCAAUAUGGGAGCUCAGUGGACAUUUUGCAUUGAAGCGGAGACAGGACUAUGAGGAAGCAUCAGAAGGGAAUUUAUAUAGUUUCUUGGAAAUGGUGUCUCUAUCCGAGGAGCGGUUCGAAGAGAUGAAGGGAGAUAUCUUGGAAUUCCUUGCCAGUGGAAGCUGCUGAGGAUCAUGUGAAGGGCAGAUAGGGAUACUUCCUACAAAAACAAGAUCUCCUUGAUUGCUAGCAGUAAUGAUGUUCGUGUAUCAAGCUUCGACAAGUUGGUGGAUAUAUGCUUUAUGUCUUGCUAUUUAUUGUUCAACUGUGGUUACUUUGUGUUUCAGUUGUGAUGAUCUUCAGUUAGCAUCAAAUGUGUCCUUAAAAGUAUAGCUCUGUUAAUGUUGCAAUGGCCUUUAGCCACUUUGCUGGGUAUUAUGAUGACGAUAUUCCCAGAUUCUUGAAACAUUCCGGAAUUGUUCAUGAAAUUUGUCUGGGCAAAAUUUCUCCGAUUUCUGCUUGGACUGCCGAGUUACUCCUAGUUUUUAUACACACACACACACACACACACAUAUACAUACAUACAUACAGAUACAUACAUACAUACAUAUACAUACAUACAUACAGAUACAUACAUACAUACAUACAUACAUACAUAUAUAUAUACACACACACACAUGCAUAUAUAUAUAUAUACNNNNNNNNNNNNNNNNNNNNAUUUUUUUUUACACACACACACACACACACACAUAUAAUAUACAUACAUACAGAUAUAUACAUACAUACAUAUACAUACAUACAUACAGAUACAUACAUACAUACAUACAUACAUACAUAUAUAUAUACACACACACACAUGCAUAUAUAUAUAUAUAUAUAUAUAUAUAUAUAUGUAUGUAUAUGUAUGUAUGUAUGUAUGUAUAUGUAUAUAUGUAUACAUACAUGCAUAGAUGUAUGUAUACAUGCAUAUAUAUGUAUACAUACAUCCAUACAUAUAUAUAUAUAUAUAUAUAUAUAUAUAUAUAUAUAUAUAUAUAUAUAUAUAUAUAUAUAUAUAUACACUUUCACAAAUUUUAUGUAUGGUUCUUGUGUUAUUUGAAUUAUUUCUCAGAUACACAUGAACUAUGGAUUACUGAUGUUGCCUGUUGCUGUUGGUGGUAGUGGCAUCAUUAUUACUAUUUGCUGUUUUUGUUGGCUCUUGCUUCUUUAUUUUUGCGUUAAUCAGAAUAUGGAUAUGGAUACAGAGUUCCACCGAAUUUGAUUUGAAGCUUAUAGAAAACUUUUACUAGGAUGUUUUUAUUCUACCGUAUGAGCAUAAAUUUUGUAAAGCGUCCCGAUUCCUCUCAGAAGAUGUAUCUGAUUACGAGGUUAAGAAUUUAUUGGGUAGCAGUUUCCAUCGUAUCAAGUAGUGUGUCUUGUCUAGAGAGUUUUGGUGAUUCUCAUCAAGGGUAGCCACAAAGAUCAUUUUGUCUUCCAAAAUGCAAAGUAAUAGAUGUCUUGUUGGUACUGUUUAGCCACAAGAGUCACAAGAAUGGAGCAUCGCAUUCGAUUUAAUUGUUGACAAUUGCUAAAGGAAAAAAAAAAAAAGGUGAUAUAAUAAGGCUAUUCAUUCGUUUAAAUGGAUGAUGCAGUGGUUCACGUGCUUAUAUUGGUCUGCUUAGAAUCGAAUCAGCAUCCAUUCUAAGCCUAUAAAUGUUGGUUUUUAUAGAUUUAUUCUCAAGGAAAGUUUUUAUAGAUAUUUUCCAUUUAAUAUUUAUCUCUCAUAGGAUAUAUUUGUUUCAAGAAUAAAAAAUAAAUCCUAAUUGGCUUGAUUACAUAAUAUAAGUUGGAGCAGAAUCAGCAGUGGUAAACCAUUCAAUCUUUUCUCGGGAGUAAAUUAUGUUUCCAGGUCAAAUGGCGUAAAUGAAUUACGAGAAGAAAAGGUAAAGUAUUUACUUUGUACCAAUUGGCGUCUUUUUAAAAGUGUUUAUUUUAUCUACUCGAAAUGGUUAACACAAGCAUUGAAGUGAAUGUUUGAGCAAAUAAGGUGUAAUAAAUCGGUUUAGAAACUUCUGUUCAGUCCUAACCAAAUAUAGUCUCAUAUUUUUCCUUUUUUUUUACCAUCGAUCCACUUCCCUCUGUUGACGCAUGCAUAUAAACAUGCAAUUAACGAUACAUCUGGAUAUAUCUGGCAAUGGCCUGCGUGACCAAAUUGGUGAAUGACAGAUCUGAAACAUCGUUCUUUUCAUUAAAUAUCUUUUCUAUUGGUAUAGGUUAAUGAUCAUUAUAAGGAUUUAACUUCUCUUCAAUAUAUGGAUGAUUUCGAUAUGCUCAUCAUGGUCUGAAAAGUUCUAAAUUGGUAUCCUUCCUGGCAAAGUUCACAAAUACAGUUGUUUUCGAAUUAGGGCUUCUUAAUAUUUGGCGAAGAUAUGCAACUUUUUCUUUUCUAGAACCAGGAUAGGGGAAGUCAGGUUGUAAUUCGAUAGAGGUGAACAACUUUAUCAACUCAGAUUGCAUUUGGCAUGAUCUCCAAUUUUCAGUUUUUAAUUUUUUUCAUUAAAAUCGAAAUAUAAAAUUUCUUGGUUACUUAGAUUGUAUUUGGCGGCGACGAUGUAAUCAAUUGAAUUGCAUUUGGCAAUAGUGACGGCGAUGGUUAAUUGACGACACUUACUAGCAGUGAUGCCGGUGAUGAUCAGCAGACGGUAGAGAAGCGCCAAGCGCAGCGCGAGGCGGUGGCAACCAAGGAUAUGAUGGUGAUCACGCAUAGUUUUUUUAAUUANNUUUUUUUUUUUUUUAAGUGAUCACCAGAGCUUUUAAAGUUUCCACGCUUCAUAGAAAUUGAAAAAAUAAUUUCAAAAGAACGAAUAUGGAAACUAGGUUAACGACGCCGUACCUGAUUUUUGUGCUUUUUUUUCAAAAUAAAAAUUGAAAAGCCGAAUUGUUGCUAAAUAGGGCCCCAAGGUAAUUAGUACGCUCUAUUAGUGUGUGCAACAUUUGCAGUAGUCAAUAAUGAGAGACAGCGCUUUAAAUAAAAAGACAGAAGGAGGCGUGACGCCCUCCAAAUGUUGCAUUUGCAUAUUUGUUGCGGUAAUCGAUGUAUUUACAUGACCGUAUGCAAGGUCUAGGAGAUAUGUCCACCAAAAAGUUUACUAAGUUCAUUAAAGAUAUCUUUGUCUCUCAGUUUCUACAUAUAGAGGGAGAGAGAUGGGGUCAUGAUAGUCUUGUGCUUGCAUUAACGCGAGCAAGACUUGGAAAUGCAUCAUUCCCAGUGAAGGCAAAGGAAUUACCCAGAGAUUAGGAUGCGCAAGACUUAGAUAUGUAUUGUUUCUAGUGAAGGCAAAAAACUAACAAAAGUAAACCCAAACGAUACAACUUGAUUCAUGCCGUAGUGAACCACAUGCCCAGAUCUGUUCCAAAGUAUUUCCUCAAAGAGGAGCAGUCUCUAAUUUGCUGUAUAUUUUCUGAAAACAUCGCAGUGCAAUGAGCACUUCUCUUUCUCAAAAGGUAGCGGGGGUGGGGGUCGUGACUCGUGUGCGUAACUCAGGCGCUCUGCCUUCACCGGUUCUGCAUGAAGUCGGCGUGACCGAGGCACAAUCUCCUUGUAUCGUAAUCACUAUAUGGAGCAGUUGCAUCGCAACGCCACUCGCACCCACCUUCCGACUUGGUCCAGCCUUUACGUGGCCCUCAUUUUAAUGAGCUCAACCGUCCAGUCCGUAACGUUUCGUGCCACCCAAUCUUUCCACCAAAUCGUCCCCUGGGCCCCACCCAAUAAACAACGCAUCAAGCAACAACGAGAAAGUCAGAAAACACCUUUCGAGGGAGAUGGCUAAUCUGUAGGCAGAUGGCUAAGAUGGUGGCUUCACGAAUACAAGGCGGCCCCAAACUAGGUUUUAGCCGUCGGACCAGGCUUGCUUUCUUCCGUGCCGCAGCGGCCAGACCACCGUAGAAAGCGUUCGGAGGAAACGAAGGGAAGGCAGUUCCAUGCUCCCGUUGGUUUUGACUCCCUAAUUGUAAAAUAGAAGUUUCCCCAUUUGUCCUCGAUAAAAAUUUCCUCUCUUCUUGACCUUCCUCCCUCUAUUUUGUCUUCCCCGCCCUCGUAUUGCCCCUAAAUCCAACCCCAGGUUCUUCCCGGCUUCUCGUUUUUCCCUCAAAGAAAGCGAGCGGAUGGGAGCAGGAGACGAGGAGGCGAUGGGGAAGCGAGAGAAGCGAGAGGAAUUCAACGUCAUAGGUACAGCACCGAAGAUGGGAGAGGAGGAGGUUCGUAUGGUGGAGGAGAUACUGGGUUAUAGAUUUGGUAACAAAGAUCUGGUGGAGGAGGCUCUGACUCACGGCUCGUUCUACUUGCCGUACAAACCGGCGAAGUCGUAUGAGAGGCUGGAGUUUAUGGGGGACGCUGUGCUCACCUGCAUCGUGGCGAGGGAGGUGUUCUCCUCAUACCCAGAUCUCUCCCCCGGCCCCCUCACGCGUCUCCGCGCCGCCAACGUCGACACCGAAAAGCUCGCCCGCGUCGCCGUGGAGCAUGGCCUCCACCGCUAUCUCCGCCACAAGGCCCCCCAGCUCGAGGCCCAAGUAAAUAUCUUUAAUCAUCAAUUUACUUGUUUAUUUUUUGAAUUAAAUUUUGUGAAGGCCUCGAUGGUUCCUUUUUUUGGCCCCUAGAUUUUGAUCACGACCAUAAAAACGGUGGGCUUCCGUUGGAGCAAAUCGGUAGCUGAAUCUGGGGAAUGGGAAUGGGAUGGCGGUUCUGGGCAAUUGAGAGGAGCGAUUCCGUCUCCGCCAAAACUCUCCACUUUUCGGUGAUUUUUUUUUUUUUAAUUAGUUUCUUGGAGCACUUGUCUACUGCUAUACCGAGAAUUGCUCUCUGCUGAUAUUCCUCGGGAUGGGAACUUGGAUCACGGAAACCCCAUUGGAUUGGGUUCUAUGACCCGGCCCGACGUGGUCCCGUCAGCUGGUACUGACGCGGGACCAGGUGGAUUCACCGGAUUGGGACGAGAAAGUCCUAGGCCUGACCCGUAUUUUAUGUGGGUAAUAUGUGGCUGGGGGAAUCGGUGAGAUUCACCGCAGUUGGGCCAACCAAUUUACCCGUUACGUUAACGUGCGGGCUUCUUGCAUACUCCUGGUCAAUCCAUUUACAUCGAUCAAAGUUAUAAAAUUACGAUUUGGAACUCAUAAUGCACAUGGAAAUAUGUUAUAGAGUAUAAUAUCGCGAUUGAGGCGAGUCGGGACAAACUGAUGACCAGCUUUAUAAAUUGGGUCGGGUUUCAUUGAGUUUGAGCUUAGUUGAGGCUUCAGGCUAGUUUCUUUAUUUCAUACCGACGCAUGCUUUUUUUAAGAAUGGACGGAUAUGAAGGGACACUUUUCGCGCUGAAGAACGAUAAACCUUCCUUCGCGCGAAACCACCGUUAGAUCAUCAGCUGCUCGCUUUGAGAUGGACUGCGGAGCGCUUUGCGAGCUGUUCGGUGGGUGAUCCGACGGUAGUUUCGCGCGAAGGAAGAUUAAGCAUUCUUUCGCGCGAAAGAUACACCACUUUCCCAGAUCUGAGACCUCUUACAAAAGAGAGAGGCGCUUGAGAAUUGGGAUAUUCUUUAUCGCCGAGGUUCGAUUCUCCAAAAGUUCUGUUAUUUAUUUUGUUUAUAUGAUUUUGAUGAUUUUUUAGAUUCUAGAUUUUCCAUACAGAAAAGAUGUAUCUUAUUAAAAUUCUUCUAUAUUUUUUUUUUCCUCUUUGGGAGAGUUCUUUCAUAAUAAAUCGAUUUCUUUUUUUGGAGGUGCUUAGGAUGGCAGAGACUCCAAAAAAAAGAGCACUUUUUUCUAGAGGCUUAAUUUUCAUGAGUCCAUUAUCUUUCUUAUUGUACGAAAUUAGAGUAGAAGGGUUCUGAACUUUGAUGAGGAAAUGUUACCAAUCUUUAUGGAAUGGAAGAUGUACAUCGCUGCAAUUUGCAGCAAAAAGGAUACCGAAUAUGGUUUGUGCGUGCUUUCUGAAGGCCCCUAUUGAUCUGAUGGCUUGCUAACAUACGUUAUUCAUUCUACCAUAGAAUAUCAUAUUUUUCAGAAAGACUGUAGCUAUUGCGGCUGCCAUGCUUUUCUGGUAGGUUCCGGAAUGCGGCAUGUAUCACUAAGUCUUUCUUUGGUUCUCCACUCUUCUAGAUCCAAGAUUUUAUGCAAGCCAUGAUGGAAUAUCCAAUCCAUUCCAACGGCCUUGUCGACCCACCCAAAGUCCUGGCGGACAUUGUUGAAUCCCUCCUUGGAGCCGUAUUUUUAGACACCAACAGCUCUUUGGAAACUGUUUGUGAGGUCUCUCUCUUGUCUCCCUUCCUCGUUCUCUUGUUUCUCUCUAUGUACCAACACAGAAAGAAUGUAUGACUUGAACAGAUAUUUAGGAGGCUAGCUGCGCCACUGAUCAAUCCAGAGACUUUGGGAAAACACCCAAUGAGCGAGCUGUAUGAACUCUGUCAAAAGCUAAAGAUGGAUGUCACGUUCUUGAAGGGCGUGUGGCCUGAAAACCCAAAGAUUGACGUCUUGGUUGAUGGCAAAUUGGUGGGGAGUGGUAACGGCCAGAAAAAGGAAAUUGCUCAAAAUCGUGCCGCGAAGGCCGCGUUGGACAGGCUCAAAGAGACUUUAGGCGACUUGGACUCGACGACACUCGACCAUCCAGACUAAGAUGCCUCCUUAUUAUCACCGAGAUUGGGAUGAGGGCGCCUGGCCUCUGCGUUGAAUGCAUACCAUGUCUUCUCAUCAUGACCGAGACUGAGAUGAUAUUUUUUUAUUAAGAGGUUGAGAUGAUGUUGCCUGACGUCUACGUUUAAAUGUAUAUAAUUCUUGCUGGUUGGCUUCAAGACAUUAGCUACAUGCUCCUUGAGUUUGUACCUCCAUAGUGUAAAGUUCAGCAACGCGCAAAAUGUUCUGUUGUGUAAGGAAAAAAGCUGCAAUUUAUAAAAAUAAAUGUUUACAUGUGUGCAGCUGACCAGACUAGUGUUGGGGAUGUGAGUGGUACUCUAGAAGCUAUUCAGUUCGUUGCUUCUUUAUUCUGAAUCAUGAUCGAUGUAUUCUCUAAAUUAUUUACAAUUAUUUUCAAAUUUCAAAUUCUCUUAAGCUUUCGUUUUAUGUUGUGUAUAAGAUUAGUUCAUGUUUUGUUUAUUGAAAGUCCUAAAUUUGCAAUCACGGGAAGUAGACUGUGGGAUGCAUGAUCUUUAUGGCCUUCUUCUUGUCGGCUCGAGUCUAGAUUUGAAAUUUGUUUAGCCUUUACUUUAUGCCUGGGCUUCGCUUGGGCAUUUGCAUGAAUGACAUCUUGUAGAGUUAUGUUGACGAAAUACCAUCUUAUCUUACCUUUGGCCUAUCAUCCUCGCCCAUUGUUCCCUCAUUGGCCGAUGGCCCGCAAAUGUCCCUACUGAUAUCGCCACCUAUUUGGCUCGCACAGCAAACUUAUUCUAUGUAGUCAAGAAAUACUGCGCUGGAAUUAUUUUGCCAAUUUGUUUAAUUGGUCUGAGAAAGAUUAGCCACGCAGAAACAGCUCUGGUGGAUGGCAAUCCCAAUCUAGUAGAAAAGGAAUUGGAAGUUCAGCCAGGUUUCGUCUCUUCUAUUAAAAUAGAAUAUUUCUUAUGGAUCAAGGUGGAAGCUUCUUUAGUUCUUGUUGUGAAAAUGGAAUCACGGCACAAGCAAUGCACUUUGAUUGUUCGUUCUAGCUAACAACGGCAGGGACCAGGCAACAAUGCCGAAAGGCUUUGCAAUAUUGCAUUAAAUUAUUCACAGCACGAGAUCCCAUUUUGAAUUGGGCAUUAGUAUAGCAGUCACCCUUUUUCCAAGUAGAAGCAAUACUUUCAGAACUGGACCGGAUAUCGGACCGAAAUGAAAAAAAAAUCAGGGGGCAAUCGGAUCAACCAAUUAGCCCGAUCAAUUGACCCAUGACAUCAGCAUAACAUCAUUAUGAUAUAAUAAAUAUAUUUUAUUCUUUAAAAAUAUAAAAAUAUUAAACAUACUCUAGAUGUUUCCUAUCAUUUUCUUUAGCGGAUGAAUUCUAUUCGCCAUUAUAUAUUUAAUAAAUAUAAUGAACUGUGUUCAUCGACACAUCUAGAGUCUCUAAAAAAAUCCCAUGACCAUCGGUGCAGCCAUCUUCAUGUGCGCCAUCUACCGCAAGUUUGGCCUCAGUGAUGAGACCUCCUCCUUUCCCUUCUUCUUUUAGACCGACUACGAUGCCAAGUUCCACCAUGCCAUCCUCGAGGCUAAGCAGGGCAUGUUCUCUGCUGUGGCCUCCCUCUUCGUCAAGACCGCCGUCCACCCCUCCAGCAUCAUCGUCCUCAUCGUCGCCUGCAGCAUAUUCGCCUCCUCCCCCCUCUCUCCUCCCUCAUCGUCCUCCACUUCCGACUGUCCCUCUCCAUCAAGACCUUUGGCCUCCCUGGCAUGGGCUGCAGCACCAGCACCAUGUCCAUCGGCCUCGCUGCCAAAAUCAGAUACAGACAGAAUACCUUUAUCCUAGUAGCCGCACUAUCCGAUCUAUAAUCCAGCUGGUUCAUCACGGAUCGAUUGGUUCAUCGGGUCUUCAUGAUUUUUUACGGGUUGAUAAUCUAUUGAUCAUGUCUAAGCUCCGGAUCAGGAUUAAAAAUGGUCUCCAAUCCGACCGGUCGAUCUGGCCGGUUCUAUCCGAUUCUGAAAAUAUUGAGUAGAAGAGGCCUUCAGAUGGUGUAUCCCAAGUAUUGAAAUCUGCAUAAUUCGUGCAUAAUGGCGGGUCUCCCUCUCUCUCUCUCNCUCNCUCUCUCUCUCUCUCUCUCUCUNNNNNNNNNNNNNNNNNNNNCGGUCGUCCUCCUCUCUCUCUCUCUCUCUCUCUCUCUCUCUCUUUCUCUCGAAAAGAAUAACUCAAUGAUAGAAGUUUUUAUAUAUUACAAUACAAUGCUUAAGGAUUAUAAACUAUACUGUUAUUUCACCUGGAGAUCGCUGUUCACACUCGUUUUUGCAAUUACUUCUACUUGGGCUGCACACAAGACGAGCCGAUUAGAGCUUUGGGUUGCUCCAAGCUUAAGAAAAGCUUCACCAUAAACUUUCAAUAUUGAUUGAAACUUAAAUGAGCCCAAUACAUAGAGAAGCCUCCAUGUGAACUUAUUUUCAAAAAUUUUCAAGCUCAAGGUUUCUUCUCGAAUCCAAGUCCAGCCAAUCUAUGAAUUGUCUAAUUCAUUUGCAACGCUGGACAUUCAAUCCUAAGCACUAGCAUAAAAGGAUACUCUAAUUACAUAAAACACUUCAAGGCAUCAAUUAGAUCAUAAGAAGUAUCAAACUGAUGUAAAGUUGGCAUAACAAACUGAUAUUUGAAACAGUAUGGUUUCUUUGCCGCUGCGGGAUGUCGAGUGGCUUAGCGCACACCAAGUUGGUUUAUGUAAUGGGACAUUGGUUCACCCCACCAUCUGAUGAGACUACAUCCUAGUGUGUGUAUCUCCAUCCACACCACUUAUUAUUACUCUUUUAAUUAAUACACUAAUCUUUGAUGAAAGUAUCUUAUUUUUUUCAUUUUCUCAAAAAAAAAAAAGGUUUAUGCAUAAGCCCUUGCCUGUUAUUUUCAUGUGAGUACUGCUCAGUGAUAAUGACCACUUAGUUCAUCAAGAAUGUGAAAUUGGUGUUAUAUACGGUGAAUUGAUGAUGUUGGCCGAAUCUUUCUUAUGCCCAGCUAAUCACCAAUUUCUACGUCUCCCGGUGAAUUAAGAAUGAAUUAUAACAGAUGAUCCAUAAUUUUUUCUUUUUCAUGAUCCAUAAAAUAAUAAAUUUUUCAUGAUCUUCUCGUUGCGAUGCGCUAUGCUGCUAUUCCUUUUUUUGGUAAAAAAUGUGCUAUCCUAUUUACAGACCAAAUCAUGCAUAAUAUCGGAUAAAGUAACACUUUUAACCGUAACGGAGGAUCUGAAUUUAUCUUCAUGCACCCUAUAUUUUGCACUAAUUUUCAUAAAUCUCAUUAACUACAUUGAUGUACGUUAUUGCACGCAGUGGCAACUUAACUCAAUAAAAUGGACAGUUUGCUUCCAACCAAAUGGUUCGGAUUCGAGUCGUAGCAGGUAUUACGGUUUCAAUUAAAUGUUAGAAUGCAUGUGACUGUGAGAGAGCUAAUUCUGACAAUUCGAACAUGGAGUCUGAAAAUUUUUUUUAAUUUUUAUUCUAUAAUGGUACAGAGAUGAUCAUAGAUCAGUCCAUACAAUUGGAGGAGGAGGAGAAGUCUCAUCUAAAAAUUGCUCUUCGAAUUGAAUGUUGUUGGGAAGAGAUUUUUGUUUCUCUGAUUUGCGGUGGUGCUGGAUGACCAUAGGCCAGUCCAUACGGCGGAGGGGAGAUGCUCCCCCGCGAUCACGUCCAAAGAAGAUAAUUGUGCCGGGUCGCCCCCUCUCAAUCUCGUUUUCUGAGCCCAACAAACUACGUUGGCGUAUGAAAUUGGCACUCCUUGCAUUACUCUUCGUGGAUUAAUAUAUUAUAUGUAUUUAUGGUUGGACGGUUGUCCUGAGUCCGGAGCCUUUUCUGACCAGAUUUGUACUGUUAUUAGUUUUUAUAUGAGAGGGUUUUUAGCAACAUGGGAAAAUACCCUAAAAUGCUCUACUCGAGCUUUUCCCGCCAAGACAGAGUAAAACGCGAGAAAAGCUUUGAAGAACCUAAGAGUGAUGCAAUCCCAUCUCCAGUACCUUACCAAACCCCUUCCUUUACAAACCUGGAACCGAAUGAUUUGGGCCUCCACGCGAAAUGGAUCAUACCUGGAAACUCUUCAUCUCUACUCCUCCAUGCUGAGAUCCGGCGUUCAUGGCGAUGGCUUCACCUUCCCUUUCGUCGCAAAAGCCUGCGCGAAGCUGCGAUCCGUAAGAGACGGCAGGAAGCUCCACGGCCAUGCUCUCUUGAUGGGCUUUCAGGGGAACCCCUUCGUGCAAACCUCGCUAAUGGAUAUGUACUCGAAAUGCUAUAAUCUAUCGGACGCACGCCAAUUGUUUGAUGAAAUGCCCAGCAGAGGCCUGGUUGCCUGGAAUUCCAUGAUCUCUGCCUACAGUCAAGACUUCCAAAUUAACAAGUCGUUUAAACUCUUGAACGAGCUGCGUGCGCUUGGUCUCAGGCCCACCUCUAGUACUUGUGUAAGCCUUGUAUCAGGUUGUGCAGGCUCUGUUGCAGCCUUAAUGCAUGGUCUUUCUGUCCACUGUUAUGGGAUUAAAGUUGGGUUCCAUUCAGAUUUACGGUUUUCUAAUUCAAUUUUGAGCAUGUAUGCCUGGUUUGGCCAUGUUGAUGAUGCAUGUUCGUUGUUUGAUUCUAUGGAGGAAAAAUCCAUAAUCACUUGGACCGCAAUGGCCGGUGGCUUUUUGAGGGUUGGAGAUAGUAUGAACGUGUUUGAUCUCUUUAACCAAAUGCGUGGUGCAAAUAUCAAUCCAGACUCUGCUGCAUUCAUUAAUCUUAUCUAUGCUGGCAUCCUUACAGGGAAAUCGUCGAUAGCCUGUGCAAUCCAUUCUGUAUUGAUUAGUAGUGGAUUUGAUCAGAAAGUAGACAUUGCCCCUUUAUUACUUACCUUAUAUUCAAAAUGUGGAGAAUUAACAUCAGCUCGAGAAGUUUUUGAUUCUAUGCUGGAUAAGGAUGUCAUUUUGUGGACUUCCAUGAUCAGUGGGUAUGUUCAAGGUGGGCUUUCAAGUGAAGCAUUGGUUCUAUCUGAGGAGUUGUUAAGUUCAAAUGUUAAACCAAACAAAGUUACCAUUCUCACAGUACUUUCUGCUUGUGCUGAUUCUGGAUCACUUAAUUUUGGGGAAAAGAUUGGAGAGUAUGUAAUGGAGAAUGAGCUUCAAUCAGAUUUGCGAGUUCAGACUGCAUUGAUAUACAUGUAUUGCAAGUGUGGGAAUAUAGAAAGAGCAAAAGAUAUUUUCGAUGGGGUUUCUGCAAAGGAUAUAACUAUGUGGAGCACCAUGAUAAAAGGUUAUGCUUGCCAUGGGAAAGGCAAAGAAGCUCUUGCCCUCUUUGAGGAGAUGCAAAGGGAAGAGACUGUUAAGCCAGAUGCCAUUCUUUUUACUGAAGUCUUAUUGGCAUGUACCCAUUCUGGGUUAGUAGAGGAAGGAUUGCAAUGUUUCAUUAACAUGCAGAAGGAUUAUGGUGUCGAUCCUAGCAUAGAGCAUUAUUUGUGCAUAGUGGAUCUUCUUGCUAGAGCAGGUCAUUUCGGUUCUGCUUUAAGAUUUAUUAAUAAUAUGCCUAUUCAAGCAAGGAAUCAGAUGUUGUCUCCCUUACUUAGUGCCUGCAGAACUCAUCAUGAUAAUCAGUUUGGAGAGUUGGUAUCGGAACAAUUGAUUAGACUGAAGCCUCAGAACACUGGCAAUUAUGUAUUAAUGUCUAAUGUUUAUGCUUCUUUAGGGAAAUGGAAGGAGGUUAUAGGGCUUAGAAAUUCAAUUAACAGGAGAGGAUUGAUCAAGGAACCUGGAUGGAGUAGGAUUGAGUUAAAUAGCUGAAUGUAUAGAUUGUCUACACAAUUGAUUUAUUUAUAUGAGCACCUCGCUCUAAAAUUCUCCUCUUUCUAAUAUUAUAAACCAAACUUCAUCAAGAGGCAAAGACGAGCAAUUAGAGAUCUUGAAGCAUCAUGAUUUGAUUAUGAACCAUUACAUCCUGUGGAUUGUUUUCUUUCACAAGAAGAAAAGUGUUUACAAGAUUUCUUAAGUCAUUGCUCAUAAUGGUCAUUUGACUAGAAGUUGAAGUGCAAGCUUCUGCAUCAUAAAAUUGCCGAAAACAAAAUAAAGAAAUAUGUGACAAGUUUCAGGACCACUUCAAGGUCUCAAAUUUUAAGCCAGCAAGCAUGUCUUGCAUCAAGUCUUCCCCACAAGUUCUACUUUUUGGUACUCAUAUUUCCUUCUCUGUUUUCUGACUUUCUUUUUUCACCUUUUCCUGAAUUCGAGGUAGACUUGUUCAUCUAGAUAAUCUCGUUUAUCUCAGAUGGCUAUUUGGACUGACUGUUGAUUUUUAUUUGUCUUCUCAAAUUGACAUGAGGCCGAGCAUUGUUUGAUCCAAGGCAGUGGAUCCAAUGUGUGCUCUUCUGUCAUGUGCCACUGCAUAUCUUGAGUACAUGACAUGCAAAUACCAUGGUGAUUUUGCUUUGAUACAAAUUGUGGCUGUGUUGUCAAUAUGAUUGAUUGACAGGUAUGAAAUGAUCGCACUUGAUUUUGCUCCAUAUUGUUCCAUUACCAAAAGUACUGAAGAUUUUAAAUAAAAAGUUUCUUGUUUCAUAGCUAUGGACAUGCUUACAGUUGUUCCGUCCUUAUAUUUGUCUACAUCAUUGAAGAUAAACUUGUUGUGUUAUUUUACACACGCAAACAAAAUAAAAGGUCAAAAAAAUAAAAAAGAAUCUUAAGUCAUUCCUGUGACAGGGGGUUUAAUCAAUGGUUUGUGGUUUAUUUAUGGAAUCUAAAGAAAAGAGAGACAUUUUAGGAGAUUACUGUCAAGGAGAACAUGUCACAGUCUGAAAGCGAAAUCUACUAUUUCUCUGAAAUUUGUAGAGAACUAUGAACUGUUCUAUGUACAUACUUGAUUCAAUGAGUUUUCUGACUUAGAACAACUUAGAGUUGCAUGUUUCACAAAGCAUUUUUUUACUUUUGCAAAUGUGAUGUUUUAGAUAUAGAAAGCUUUUGGCAAGAGAUAUAUCUAUGAAAUGUUUGAUACUUAUCCCAUCUUUUACACACACACACACACACACACACACACACACAGAUCUAUGUAAUUCUUCCAAUAAAACUCUGAAGUGGAUGGUUUUUGGGCUUCUUUUUUUUUCCUAAGAACAAUGGUAGUCAAACUGUUGCUUCCAAAGUCAAAUAUCCUUAUCUGUAUGAAGGGCCAGGCUACUGAUUCAAUCUUCAGACCAUGGAAAUCCUCCACCAUAGUCCACUAGAAGUGCUUCAGUCAAAGAACAAAGAAAAGUUUGAGCCUUGGUUUUCAAAGACAAUCUAUGAUGAUAUAGUAAUUUUCUAUAAAAUAAUAAUGCAGUCAAAUGAUCAAAGUCUAUUUCUUUGAUGCAAAGUUUCUUCUUGCACAUGAUGCUAUACUUCAUCUUUAUCAUUACCAACUUGAGAUAUGAAUUGUCAAAUGUUUCACAUUGGAACAUGACGGCUUGGAUUCACUUGUGUUAGAAAGUCUGGGGAUUUGUGAAGGCUGGCUAUAUAGAUACAAGUUAAACCUCCAUCUCUCAAGUCCCACAAACAAGUUCGGAAGAGAUGGCCUUCACUAGACUCUCUGUGGUCGUGCUUCUCCUACUCACUGGUACUGAACCCUCCUCCCAUAUAUAGGCUACUUAUAUUCUAAUGUACGUGAACCGCCUCUGAGCCAUGAAAUUAUAACAGUUUAUUUCUUUUCAUUGUUGGUAUUUGAUGCUAAAAGGCACAAGUCUUGUUUGGGGAGUUGCAAAUCAGCAUUGGAGCUGUGCUCUGCCCUCAAUAUUGCCUUGCUGUUGACUAUAUGACCUGCACAUCUUCUGGCAACAAGAAGCUGCCUUCGAAGUGCAACUGCUGCCUUGCUCCCAAGGGCUGUACCCUUCACCUCUCAGAUGGUACUGAACUGCGCUGCUCGUGAGAUGACCUUGACUAGCUUAUGCAAGAUACAAGUUCAACUUUUUAUGUAAUGGAUGAACUACAGACCUUAUGCUAUGAUCAUCUUUCAAUAUUAACCAGUCUAAUGGUGUAGAAACCUUUCUCACUUUGUUAUGUAGCCCUUGUGGCCUUAUAUAAAGCUUUCCUUUCUUCUCCUUUUCUAAAUUUUUCUUAAGAAACGCUCUUGGGCAAUGUCGCAAAAUCAUUGAUUUAUCAACAGUUUGUCAGGCGGGUUUAGUGUUAGCUCUUUGACUCAGGACAAGUGAAACUUGAUUAACUUAAAAAGCUAAGUUGACUGCUGUGCUUGCUUGGUUCGGUUCGGGGGGAGGAACCUCUUCCCACCGCAAGCAGUGAACACCAGGGUGCAGAUCAGCAGAUUUGGCUCUGGUUGGCCACGUAGUUCAAUUUAGGAAACUUAAGUGAAGUGGUCUAGUGGAUGCGAUCUAUCUACUAUUAUUAUAUUUUAGUUGUAUAAGUUCACAUAUGAAUUACCACCGAGUGAACUUUUACUUGAGAAUUUGAAUUUUUUACAAAUCUCAGCAGAACAUGCUAACGUAUUUAAGCCAAUACUGGAAACAAACAAGGCUGCCGCAAAUCUUCAUCGUUCAAAUCCAAUUGCAAAGCCUGAAUUCUUAACCGAGUCAUCACUUGAUGGCCUGGUCUGGUAAUUGUAGAGUUGACAUCUCAACUUCAGUUUUCAGGCUGCCUAAUCUGAUAUUCUUUUCUCAAACUGUGGUCGAGCUAAUUCUGAAUAGAUAGCGGUUUGGAUUGAAGUGGUCUAAUAAUUGAGUUCGGUGUCAUAUAUAUGAUACCAUGUCAAUUCAACAAAAUGUAUUAUAUAUACUAAAGAAAAUCUCAAAGUUUACUAAAAAAUUUUGAAAAAAAUUGUAGAACUACUUCAUUCUUAAAUAUCCAUACGGAAUUCUGAACCGAACCGGAUGCUGGAGCAGUCUCCGCUGCUGAUUUAUCCAAAGUCGCGAGAUAUUUGUGUAGACUUCUAAAUCUCCUAACUAUCUUUGAUUUUGGCCCACUCUCAUAGCAGAAUUUCUUUGGAAGGUAAUAGGGGAUGGAACCAUAGAGACAAGCAAGACAAUUUGCAGUAGCAACUAAUCUAUUUAUGAAAAUCAUCACGGAGAAAAAAAAUAGAAGAGAGAGAGAGAGAAAGAGAGAAGAACUAUUUUUUUCUCGAGAUAAAAUUAAAUUUAAUUUAAAAUAGAUUAUCUUUCAUUACAUAGAUUAUUUGUACAUACAAACAUGUAUAUGUUUGUAUAUUGAUGCAAAAGUUGAUAGGUUUAAUUUGUUCUGCGCAAUUUCAAAAGCUACUCUUGUUCAAAUAUUGGUGCAAAUCCAUGUGUAUUGGACAAUCAAAUUAGGUAGUGACCUUCAGAAACAACCUGUACUGUCGGCACGCUACACCAUUUAGUUCAAGCAAAUAUAAUGGAAAAAAGAAAAGAAAAAAGUUGUCUUGAGGGUGCCAAAUGAAAACUUCAACGCCAUCAUGGGAUCGAUAUUACAAGACAGCCCCGCCAUGUACUGCGACGUAAGUCGAACCAAUCCCCUCGUCCCAAAUGACGUAGAAUUUUCUACAGACACUGCAGUCUCCGUGCGCAUACCUUUUGUUUUUUAUUUUUCUUUUUAAGCGACAACCUUAUCCUCACUCUCCGAUUUCCUUUAGGAAACGGUUUUGAUGGCUCAUCAGAUCAUCACCGCUGGAAAAGAGUGCGCGACUUUUGACGAACUCAGUAUAAAAGGACAAAGGCUUUCCAUCCAACCGACGGUAAAACAGCGGACGGUGGAUGGGGUUCUUCUUCACACGCAUCUGUCCGCAAAUCCGUCGUGCCAACGGCCGCAUAAUUCCAGAAUAAGGAGUGUCGGUCGUUGUCCCGCGAAACAGCGUACCGAUUUCUCUCCGCGAGGAUAGAAGUACGCGCCUCCCCCAACCCCCCUUCUCGUUUUCCUCAAAGACCUCCGCAGAGCUCCCACGAUCAAAUCACUCAUCGUCCGCCGCCAGUCCGAUCCGAAUCCGGUGAUCAAUCAUGGUAUGUAGCAAUCCUUUUGCCUGAUUUUAGAUAAAAACUACGGGCUUUGUAAACUUUUGAUGCGUUAGAACCCUAAUUGUUUGGGAAUGAUUAGCUCUAGGGUUUCCAUCAAACUAAUUAGGAUUUUUUUUGUUUCUUGGAGGGAUUUAUUUUUUUAAUUGAAGUUUUCUCUAGAAUUUUCUCUCAUUUUGGUGUAUAUCCACUGCAAUCCUAUGAUUUUUUCUGUUUUCUCUGAUGAAUCAUUCGUUGUUUCUUGAUGGCUAUUGGUUCUUUAACUUCCUGUAAGGAGUAGUUUUUUUUGGGGGGGAAGGUUUUUCAUAAUACAAUGGUUAUAUUAUAAGGCCUUCUUAUGGUGUUCCGAUAAUCAAAAACAGUGUUCUUAAGUUUUCCUCUGGGUUCCUAUAUGCUGUUUACAAAAGCGAAGACAGCUGAGUGGGGAUUGAAGAUUGUGAGUGAUUUAAUGUGUUAAUUGUUUUAAUCACUUAAUUUUUUUCUUUUUUAAAAUGAAGAAAUUGAUUCAGAAUCCAAAACAGAUAUUCCAAUUUUGCAUUACUGAAGUAUAAAUUGUUUUGUAGCUGCCUGUCGUUGGUUGCAUGUUCUUCUUGAAUAUCAUGAGAGGUUUUUCUUUUUUCGUGUAAUAUCCUAACUUACAUUUCUUUUCUGUUAUCCAGUCUUCUCUUGCAGCUGCCAGAGCAGAUAAUUUUUACUAUCCACCAGAAUGGACCCCAAAGCAGGUAUGUCUGUCAUUAUUAAAUUUGAUAGCUUUCUUCUAUUUAUUCAUUAUUUUUUGGUUUUUUGACGGUGGGGGAUUUAUAUUCUGUCUUUACCAGAAUGUUGGUUAUUAAACAUUUUCCCCCUUGUCAAUUCCAGGGUUCGUUGAACAAGUUUCAUGGCCAACAUGCCCUGAGGGAGAGAGCAAGAAAGAUAGACCAGGGCAUUCUAAUUAUAAGGUAAGAUAUUUUGAAGUCACAAAGGGGGAAAAAACCUCAAGCAUCAUGUCUGAUUGGUGCUUCUUUUGUUUGCUAAUUUUGUGAGUUAAUGCUAUGGUUGAACUCUUACUUCUGAUGUUCUUGUUUGGGUAAUUGCAUUUUGGUGAAGGGUCAAGGAUUGAUAGUACUGCCUCUCAUGUAUACAUAAAUGUAAUCAAUGCAAACUUAAAGAUAUCACCAUGUUGGAUCUAAACCAUCUAAAAAUUACCAUUUCAAUGGAUGAAGAUUGCUACAUCUGUAGGGUGUUAAAGCUUGCUGUCUGAUUCUGUAUAUGAAAUAGAUUUGAAUGGGAAAAAAAAAUGAAGGAAUGAUGUUAAUAUUUCUUUGAUUUUAAUAGAUUUGGGAGAAAUGAAGUUAUCGAAAGGGAAGAGUAGGGGAUGCUCCAUGCAAAAAAAGUUUCCUAUGGUAAUUGUUAUAUAUUUGAUGCGAUGAAUGACUGAUGGAUGAAGGCGAAAAAAGGCAAUGGUAGUUUUGCACCAAAGAGGAAUGAUAUUUGAGGACUAGAAGUAAUAUGUAUGUAAGGGCUUAGACGUGAUUUUGUAAGAGAUUAUAGGAUUUCGAGGUGUUUAAUUUCCAGCUUGGGGAGCUAAAUAAGCUUGGAGAACUAAAAAUAAGGUUAAAGUCAGCAAAUCAGCUGACUUAUGGUAAGAUUAGGUUUAUCCAAACUAUGCUAGUUAGAUAUUAAGCACAUAAUUAUAUUUUAUAGUUAAAGGACCUAAUUAUUUUUCAAAUUUAAGAGCUCUAGAUAUACUGAGGACAUAUCAUCAAGACAGAUUUUCUAUGAUAGAAAGGAGUGCCAAAGAGAUAAUAAUUAAGAAUUACAAGGAAAUAAGACAAAUACAAAGGAGUAAUCAUGGAAAGGACCUGGAAAUCACAGAAGUAGCUAAAAGUAAUGUAAAAGAUGUGAACAAAGAUGUAAGUUGAAAAAGGGAAAAAAAAGAAAGAAAGAAACUUUAGAGAAGAAAUGUUAUUGUUCAAUCAGUAGCUAGCUGAAACUCACUCUUGCUUAGCCUUCUGUGCCUUGCAGAGAAAGGUUGGUUUUCUGAAUAUUCAUGUGUUCAAAUCCAACACCACCAACUGAAAAGUGAGCAGCAAGAGUGGAAAAGGAAUGAAUAUUAGGGCAUCUAGCCUCUGAUCUCAAUUAAACAGACCAAAAUCUGCUUCAUAUACAGCCCUAAAUAACUGUAGUUUAUUGAAGCCCCUCAUUACUAAGCAAGAUACACGAAGAUAUAAUGGAAAAAUGGUGCUACAUGUUGGAAUGAUGUGGGAAAUGAAUAACAGUGGAAGAGAGAGGCCAUGAGUAAGAGAAGCAAGAGAAGUAAGAGAUAUGGGGCACACAUUUGUGGAGUGAAUGAAAAAUGACGGCAUUCAGACAUUAGCUGCCACAUCAGCACCCUUAAUUUAUUCUCUCUUGGAAGGCCUUAGUCCUUUUUUUUUUUAAGUACCUAUACAAUCCGCAUACAUAUGCAGAAAUACACAUAGAAUUGAACCCAUGUUGAACUGAUUAUGGCAAGGGUUGCCUGGAUGUCUUGAAACCUGUGUAUCACUGCACUGUCCAGGUGACAACCUGUAACAACAAUUAAGUGAAAGGGGUUUGAAGCAGUUCUGUUUUGUGUUUUUGUUGGGGCUGGGAGAAAUGAUUUGGAGACAUCACAUUUUGGAGAACAUGAAAUUUAGGAACCCUGAAUGAAGUAGAAUCAAUUAGCUGACUUUUGUUCAUGGCAUUAGCCUUAUUUACAUCAAUGAUCCUGUUUCUGAUAUAUAGUUUUGUCUUCUUUCUGUAUUUUGGAUUUCUCUAUAUUCAUUUAUGCACUUUUCGUGGUGAUGUUGACUGAUUCCUUGGACUCCUGUCUGUUUAGCCAGGAUAUAUAUAUAUAUAUAUAUAUAUAUAUAUAUAUAUAUAUAUAUAUAUAUAUAUAUAUAUAUNNNNNNNNNNNNNNNNNNNNAUAUAUAUAUAUAUAUAUAUAUAUAUAUAUAUAUAUAUAUAUAUAUAUAUAUAUAUAUAUUAAUGUCUCUUUGCGAUUGGUCAAUUUAUUAUUCUUAGCUGUGACGUCAAUUAGGUUAUAUUAUGGACAUAGGUGAUUGUAAUUCUAUCCAUGAAAACAGCCCUUCUGAAAAAAUAAAAAAUGAGCAUUUUCUAUGAUAUGUAUUGAUGUAUAUAUUAUAUUUCAAAUAAAGGCAUCAAUUAUUAAAGUUUUACUUUCUCAAGUGAGGUAUUGGUUUAAAAGAUGCAACUUUCACAUGUAUCUGAGUAGGAUAAACUUCUGUCGUGAUUGUUUUUUUUUUUUUGGGAAUGAACAAAAGCAAACAGAUUAAUGAAGAUGCAAGUUCAAUUUGUCUUCAACACUUUGACCUGGUUUGACAUAGUAAAACUUUAACAAUUUACUACUUUAUGUGUGCCAGUUUUUAAUAGUUUCUACAUCUUCUAAUCCCAUAUCCAUCUGCUCGACUAUGAUCUUUUAUUUUUCAGAUUUGAGAUGCCAUUCAAUGUCUGGUGCGGUGGAUGCAAUUCAAUGAUUGCCAAGGGUGUAAGGUUCAAUGCUGAGAAAAAGCAAGUGGGAAACUAUUAUUCAACGAAGGUACCUUGUUUAACUACUUAAAGAUAUGUAUCAAUCAUCCAAAUAUGCUGAACAAGCUGAGUUCCAAAACCAGAUAACUUACCUUGUCUCAUUGUUGUACUUGAUUAUGCCAAAUUGAGGCCUUAUCAAGUGUUGAUCGUUUUUUACAAUCAAAGAUUAUUUAGUUAGAUUGUUUUUAGUGUAUGUGACAAUAAAAUAAUUUUUUUGUGCAUAAAAAUAAUUCAAUAAUACAACAUGACCAUAUUCAUGCCUUACUGAAGAACACAACAAUAAUAUUUACACUAAUAUAUUUAUGCCAUAUUGAAAUGCAGUUAUUUGCAGGUUCUGUAAAAGUCAGUUGCUCCAAUCUUGAUUUAGUUUCAGGGUGUGACUCAAUGAUUUGUCAAGUGCCAUGCAUUUUACCUGCUAAAAUUCAUUCAAGUUGGCUUAUCAUGUUCAAGUCCAGCAGCUUGGCCCACUCGUUCAUAUCUUCAAUUAUAGACUUUUAGGAAACUAAGAAUGGAAAAUCAGAGUACCAUGACCUGAUGAACUUUAAAACGACGCAACAUGAAUAUCCUACUACUAGUUGGCAAUGUUAUUCAUAUUAUUGUUUUUAAUCUGUUCUUGGAGUUGUGCACUCUUAUCCUUUGCCUACAUGAUUGACCUGCUGUUUGAUCUGCAUAUUCUCAAGACACCGCAGAUGGAAAUAGAUAGAAUGGUUUUAGUUUUCAGAAUUAUGAGAUUGAGAAAUUUGGUUAUCCUAUACAUGUUAAAAAUUGUUCGUCUCUUUAGUAUAGCUUGGAUCAAGGAUCACCGACUCAGAACUAGACCCUAUGUUGGCUGGUUGGUGGUAUGAGUCAGUACUCUUCCGUGCCGGAUCAUAUCGGGUCCAAACCAAUACGGAAACGAGGGAUGAACAGGGGAGGAAAAGAGAGUGAAAGAGAGAGGGAGGGAAGAAAAGGGAGGCAAAUAGAGAUGCCAGCAGUGGCCACUAGAGGGCUGCGGAAGCCUCUCAGGCUUUGUAGUCUUCCGCAAGAGAAAAUGGAAGAAGAGAGAGGAGGCGAGAGAAAGAAGAGGAGGGAGCCGAAGGUGGUGGGGAGUAGAGUUAUCAAUUUGGGUUGGGCCCAUCGGGUUGGCCCGUCCUGCCAUGUAAAUGGGGUGGGUUGGAUUCAUAUUUUAGCAACCCAUUUAAAAGCGGGUCAAAUGACCCGCCCCGUUUGGGUUGGCGAGUCGGGGCAGGCUGGUCUGUCUAUUAUGUUUAGUAAAAAAAAUAUUACCAAAUCUCCUUGAGGUCUUGACCCUUGUCUGGUUAUCCGCCUAUUUUGUUUAGUAAAAAAUUACCAAUGCUUCAGAGAUCGUGGAGAGGGUGCGGAGAGGAGAAAGAAGGGUUAACAUUUUUUUUUUUUGUCGGGAAAAUUUUGGCAGGUUGGCCUAUUUAACCCAUAGCCCAUGACAGGUCGGGUCGGGUUAGAGUUUGUCCAAUCCGCUAGUUAAACGGGUCAGCCCGCCCUGCCCCAUUUAGAGGUGGGUUUGGGCGUGUCGGUCCGUCUUGAUAGCUCUAGUGGAGAGGCGGUUUGGUGGCCACCAUGGUUGUCGGACGGCCUAAAAUUAUCUUGCGGCCACCGUGGGUAUGAGACAAGGGUUCGCUCAUCAUAUUUUUUUUUAAAAACACGACGAAACAUGGACGACCCCUGUUUCGAACCUGUGGUGGCCGUGGGGCAAUUUUAGGCCGUUCGGCAUCCUCCCAGUCACCUUCCGCUCCCUCCUCUUCUCUUCCUCCUUCUCUCUCUCUAUCUCUCUCUUCUCGCAUCUCGUGGAGGAUCGAGAGCUUCGGAGGCCUCGGCAGCCGCUUCUCCUUUCGUUCCCUUCCCUCCUUUCUUUCUCUCUCUUCCUCCCUUUUCUUUUUCCUUGCUCCAUCUUCGCCGGUGUUCUGAAUUGAUCAUCCAAACUACACCGGUUAGCCGCCGGUAUGGUUUGGUAUGCUCCGAACUAUCCAGUUAGAGACGUUUUGGCGAACCCUAGCUUGGAUAGUUGUUACAUUGUUCUGGGAAAUCACGCUUUCCAGUUUGAUGAUAUAUGCAUCUUUUCUUUGUUAUCUCUGAAAUUAGUUUUCUUACCUAGUUCCUUUGCUUUCCUACCUAGUGGUGUAGUGCCUGAAAUAUAUUUUAUGCUAAACUUGGGUACCUUUAGCAUUUAGCAUGCAUGGAAGUUGUUCUCUUAUUGAACUGGUGUGGGUAUAUCAUCUUUGUCAUUUUUCAGAUUAGUACUCUUUAUUUUGUGAAGAAGAUUUUUUUCCUUUUUUGGGUCAAGGUCAGCUAACCAUAACUAGAGUUCAUCUAAGAUUAGUAUGUAACAUAAAGGAAUGGGAGGAGAACUGCUAGGAAUUUGCUCAGGGCUGCAUUGGUUAAUUUAAAUAGAUGCUUAGACUCUCCAUAUUUUCCUCCUAUCUGCACCAUCUGCAUUUCACUAAUUACCAAGUAGCAUGUGAUUAUGUUUUUCUGAAAAUGAAGUCACGGGUAUCGAGGGUAUUGGAAACCUUUUUUUACCUUAUUUCACACAUUUUUCAUAUUUUACCUUGUUCUUUAAAUGGUGAUUUGGUCUCGCAAUUGUUGGUUUGUAUAUUCUUGUUUGAACUCACCUAGAUUUGUCAUGUGGUAUCUAUGUUUGUAUCAGAUAUGGAGCUUUACCAUGAAAUCAGCAUGCUGUAGGCAUGAAAUAGUUAUUCAGACAGAUCCAAAAAACUGUGAAUAUGUCAUCAUUCAUGGGGCUCAGCGCAAGACUGAGGACUUCGACAUUGAGGAUGCAGAAACAUUUGCUCUUCCAGUAGAUGAAGGUCUGUAAUCCUUUUAUUAAUAAUAAAGAGUAUAAGCUGUUCCAACUCUCCGCUGCAGGUUUUUUCGCAGUUUUUUGUUUUUUAAUUUAUCCUGGUUAUAUUUCUCAUGGAAAAAUAUGUUGCAGAAAGAGGCAAGCUUGCAGAUCCUUUCUACCGUCUUGAGCAUCAGGAAGAAGAUCUGCGGAAGAAGAAAGAAGCUGAGCCAUUGCUGGUCCGCCUUCAGAGAGUCUCAGACAGCAGGCAUUCUGAUGACUAUAACCUUAACAGAGCUCUCCGUGCUCGUCUCAGAGUGAGAUAUCAGAUUAAUUUAUUACCAAAUUUCAUGUCUAUUAUAUUAGCAUUUAGCAUUCUGCUUUUGGAUUCUUAUUUCUAUAAUUUAUUCUUGUCCAUUUUAGGGUCAGAAGAGAAAGGUUGCUGAAGAAGAGGAACAUGCAAGAAAGCUUGGCCUUGGAAUACGCCUUCUUCCCCCAUCCGAAGAAGAUGCGGCAGGUGCAGCUGCUGCAAGAUUCUCUUCAAAGUUUGAUCGGAAUAGGAGGGAAAAGCGGGCAGCAAUUAAAGCUUCCUCCAUUUUUCCAGAGUCAUCAAGCUCUGUAUCAGGGAAUAAACGUGUAGAACUCGAGUUGAAAAGGAGGAGAAUAAAAGCUGCUGGUGCAUCUGCUUUAUUGGCUGGUAGGGUCGAGCCAUCAUCAUGGCAGCUUAGCGAAAGAUCUGUGAGAAGACAGCAUGGAAUAUCAGUGGGUUCAAUCCGCAAAUAGUUAUAUGAAUGCAAUUCCAAUUUCGAGCAGAGCUGCAUGAUAACAAGAUAAGGCUGGAGAUCAUCGGCUCUGACCUGCAAAAUUGUCUGAGAAUCAGCUCGAGGAAUUUGAUUACAAUUUCAAGUAGUGCUGUGUGGUCAGUAAGUAGGGCUGGAUGAAUCCUCUCUCCAUGCAUUUGCAUUCCUCUGAUAAGGAGAACUGUAAGAUUGUAUGCAAAUGGUAAGGAAGAUAUUCAUCUGGAUUUUUUGUCGUCUGAUCUUUUUGUACAUAAUUAUUGCUAUGGUGUCUGUAUCCUGAUGACUGUAUAAUCUAAUACAACUGUCAUGAGUGCGGAGGAUGUAUGAUUGCGGUGGGGGAAGCAAUACCCGAGAUUUUAUUUGCUUUUGUAUUGAAAUGGGUGCUCUCGAGUUCUGAUUAAUUGGUCUAUUAUUGAAAGCCUUCUUCCUUGGGGAACCAAAGCUGCAACACUCCAAGGUAUUAAUUGAAUUUAAUGUCGUUUCGAACAAGUAUUGUAGGGUCCAAAAAUGUGAUGAGCCAUGUCUUCAAACGUAAUGGCUGUAAGUUCCACAGGUUAAGAUCAUUUUGCUUGCUGUUAUCAACCAAAUUAUGGUCUAGGCGAGUUAUGUAUGUAAACUCUUGGCAAAAGCAGCUUGCGAGAACGUGUUCCUCAUUCUUUUCGCAUUCCAGCUUCUUUUUUUUGGGUUACAUGGCAUUCCAGCUUUCAUAACACCAUGAUGAAACCAGGAAUCUGGCUAUAUGAUCAGUGAGGAACAAUUACAAAUGUUGUUCCUUGGAAGUACCUGUACAGGACGCUAACAAAUGAAAUUGUAGUUUAAAAAACUUAUCAUUAAAAAAAGAAAUUGAAGUUUGCCAAAAACUUUGGAUCGCGCUAUUUUUGUUAUUAUUUCUCGAGAUGCUGCACCCACUGUACCUUUUUGUUUUUUUGUGAAGAAAAUAUGAGGGAAAAAUAUAUCUGCAUCUGUUCCGACCGCAGCAGCUUCCCUCUCCAAGGCUGAGUCGCCUUCCAUUGUCUCCGGUCAAUCUUUACGUGUAUGAGUCGAUCCUUUUCUUCUUGUAUUCAAAGACUAUACUUUUUAUCAAAAAAAAAAAGAAAAAAAAAGAAGAGAGAGAGACAAUACCUGCUAAUUGUUUUUGAAGAAAGGGUAACCACAAACAUCAGCCGUGACAAGGUUCAACAGCUGAGAUUAUAAAAAUAUCUUGCCGAACGAUGUCCCUGUCAUCAUUGCCUCGUUGCUCACCAGUCCACUGGCUGAUUGCCUUAAAUUUGUGAGUACGAAGGAAGCUAGCACUGUGGACAGCUGAGGCGACGUUGUUUUUGUUUUUAUUUGUUCCACCAUCAAAUUCAAUUAUAGCGACCCCAUACAACGCACAGUCUUUCCCGUGAAUUAUAAAAAUAUCGCGGCUUCAGUAUUUGUUUACCGACCAUAUUUGUAAAAUAUUUUAUUUAAUUUUACUUGCACUGGAUCAACACGAGGCGCAUCAAGAAUAUUUGUAUAAAUAAUCUCAGAACCAAAACUAUCCUCAUCUACCAAUCAUUUGGAUACAUCAAGGAUGUAUUUGCUUAGGACCAGAAUUAAAAGAAAAAAUAAAAUUAAAAUAAAAUUAAAAUGAUCAUAUUCAUAAUUUAUGAUUGAAAUUAGAAUUAAAAUUAAAAUAAAAUUUAAAUAAUAGACGAGAGUCUAAUUUGAAUAUUGAGAGAUUGAGAUAUUAAAAAAAAUUUAUAAAAUAAAUAAUAAAAUAAAAUAAAAUUAUUUUUAUUUUUAUUUUUAUUUUAAAAUUUAUUUUUUUUUCAAUGAAAUAUAUUUUAAAUAAUUUUAUUAAAAAUAAAUUCUACUAUUUGAUAACCACAAGACCCUUGUUAUCCAGCGGCGGCGGCCAGCCCCGAGCAAUCAUCUCCAAAAGGUUACCGAACCCCGGGUCUCCUCGGGAUGUAAAGAGAUCAUUAUUGCCCCCGUGAGCAAGUUUGUCUGGAGGAUUUCAGAUCCCAACUCCUUUCCACUAAACACUCCCUUGAAAAUAACACCGCUGCAUCAUUAUGGAUCCAUUAGCUAAACGGCAGCUUGCAGCAGCAGACGAUCGAGAUUUGCCCGGAGGAAGCCUGGUACCUAAAGAAGUAAUAAAUAACAUUGCCUAAAAUUGCUAGCGACCGAGUUAAAUGUCGCUUGCCAAAUUUCACCCAAUACAUCAAAACCUUAUUGAUUUCUUUACCAAAAAAAAAGGAAACUUGGUUAUCUUAUCCAAAACAAAGCUAGACAAAAUUAAAGCGUGCAUCAAAAAAUAUAGUAGGAAAUUGAAUGUCACCACCAUGGAUCACCCACCCAAGGGUUCCGUGGAUAUGAAGCUAUACAUCACCAUAUCCCUCCUACUUCCUUUAAGACUCGUAUACUUUCGGAGCACUCCCUCCUUGCGAAAGCCAACCUUCUCCAACACCCUCUGAGAUGCCUCCUUGGUCACGUCCACCAAGGCCUCCACCCUCUCCAGACCUUCCACCUCCAUGAAUAUGGAGCCCACCACAAGCCUCACCUUUGCCGUCGCGAUCCCCUUCCCCCAGUACUCGGACCCCAGCGCGUACCCGAGCUCGCCCCGGCACCGAUCGUUGCCGGACCCCAAUAUGACGGAGAUGGCCCCCACGAGGCGGCCGCCGACGCAGAUGGCGCGGAACCAGGGGUGGGGCAGCACCGUCUCCUUCAUGUACUUGAGGAGGCCAUCCUUGUUAGUGUAGGUGUCCCAGCGGCAGAAUUUGCUCACCUUGUCGUCGGAAGCCCACACCAUGAAGUCGUCCACGUCCGAGAGGACGAAGGGCCGGAGGAGAUCUGCCGUGUCGCCUUCUCGUUUUCCUCCGCGGUCAUCCCUUGUUGCAUUGUGGCUGGCCGCCGAACCUGAAGAGGACGAGCUACAUCACAUCACAUUAUUUAUAACCAUGUGAAAGAGCUUUUUCUUUUCCUUUCCAGAGAGAGUCUUCCAUGAUGGAUGCGGCCGCCUCAUUUAAAUCCAUGAUGCAAAGGGAACAUGGCACCUGGCACAGGCCUAGGUCUAAACGAAUAAUACCCCAUGCGCGCAAGUAUAGAAAUCCAUCCAAACUAUUCGGCCUCUUGACCGUAAUAAGAAUCAUUUGCAUUUUCAUUUUAAAAUUUAACUCUCAGCAAUCAAACAUGUUCUAAAUAAUUUUAUAAAAAUAAUUUUUCUCUCUAUUUGAUAGCCGGCCACAAGAUACUUAUUAUCUAGCAGCAGCGGCGGCCAGCCUAGCAAUUAUCUCCCAAGGUUACCGACCCCCGGGAUCUUGCUCAAGAUGUAAAGAGAUCAUUAUUGCCCCGUUAGUAAGUCUGUCUGGAGGGUUUGACAAUUGAGUGCGCCCUUGCUUCCUUGAACGUCAAGGAAGGAACUCUCAUUGGAAAAAUCUCGUCCAACGCGGAGCUCUGUUCCUCCCUCCGCAUAAAAUGGCCCCGAAAAAGCUCAACGCCAAAUAAAGAAACCCAAUAAAUGGAGCCGCAAGUAAGCCAAUCCACCUCCCAUUUCAGCUAACUACUCCACCCCAUCAUAUUUCUUAUGUCGGCCCAUUCAGCUCAAGCUGGCAUGCCUCUAAACCCUCUCCCUCAGAUCUCCCCACCACAUGACUCCCCCCUCAAUCCACCAUCCUUCUUCUUCACCCCCUCCAUGGCUCUGAGGAGACCUCUUCUCACUUCUCUCCUCCUCUUGUUCAUCCUCUUGCUCUUGUUCCAUGGGUGGAACCAUCUCAAACCUCGGGCAGCCGCCCCCUCGUCGGUCCCUCGCAAGGUGGUAGCGGCCAAGUUCGAUUUCUCCGCAUUCCACUACACAAGACAUUCUCAACACCACCAUCAACAUGGGCAAGCACCGCAUUCUACCGUCGUAGAGGUUAAACCGAGUCCGGAUGAAGGUGACGAGAUCGAUCCGCGGUAUGGCGUCGAGAAGCGUAGAGUCCCGACGGGCCCGAAUCCAUUGCACCACUAAAUAAUGUUAUCGUGGCCAUCAUAUUUGCAUGGAAGGUGCAGAAGAAGGAGAUAGAGAUGACCGAGGGAUAGCUCAUAAAGUUCUCUCUAAAUCAGAUUCUUUAUAGAUGGAAAGGCAGCUCGAUUCACCUCAAUAAUUCUGUUGCGAUGUGUAUGUAUGUUGGCUGAGUAUUUAUAUGAACCAUAUAUGUACUAUCAAAGUAAUGUGAAAUUCAGCUCUGUUCUUGCCAAAGUCUGUAUGUCUCAAAGAAACAAUAGAAGUAAGAAGGGAGGAAAAAAAAAAAGACUUUCUUAAUAAAGAGACAAAAAAAGUAUAAUCAAGCGUAUGGUUUGUGAUUAUAUGGUAUUGGCUUGCUUGCUCGCUGGGGGAAAUGUGUCAGUGGUCGUUUAUAUUUUACGUUUCACUUUUGUAGCCUAACGAAUGAGUAACGGGAGUUGAUCAACAGAAGAAGAAAAAAAAAAAAAAAAACGAAUGAGUAACGGGGACGGCACGGUGUGGCACGAACCACCAGUCAUUUCGGAAUUUAGCGUGGUAAUAAUGGUUGUGCGGAAUACGUGGCCAUUAAACUAGUUGUUGACUUCUAGUAGUAGGGUCCACAAUAAAGGGCCCGGAUCAGCUAGUCGGUGGAAACUCGCGCAACGUGACAUCCCGUUCUGGUCAAACGCGCGUCGAAUUUUUAAUCUUCCAAAACAUCUCGUGAUCGUUAUCAUUAUCAUUGUUAAUUAGUAUUAGUGUUUGAAAACUUGGCAGGAUGUUGUACGUGUGUUAUUUUCUUAGAAUUAGAUGCUAUAAGUAUUGGGUAUGAAUGGGGGAGUUGACUGUGCUAAUUUAUGGUGGAUGGAGUGGUGAUGAUGGCGUUUCGAUGGAGGCUUUGCACCGUUGGCUUUUGGAGGUGUGCUCAUGGGUGGCAUACCACUUCACGAGCUAGUGAUUUUAUAGGAUAUGGAGUCAUGUGAUUGGGGGAAAGAGCAAGGGAUUUCACCUACCACCCGGCCGGUGCCGAAUGGGAUGUCUAGCCGACUUAGAUAGUAGCACCAUUUGAUAGUGGAGAUCCUUCUUUUUUCUUUCCCCUCUCAAGCAUUGACUCUGGCUAUGUUCAUUAUUUUUAGCUUCUAGAAUUAAAAAGGAAAAAAAAAAGCUAUUCCUUAAUUUACUUGAAACAAAGAGUGUCAUAGUGGAUUCUAAAUGCUUUCAGCUUGGGGAAAACCAAUGACCAGACUUAGCCAAAAAUUGGUUAAUAUAUAUACAUCUAUUGAGAAGAAAAUGAUGGCAAGUCGCUGAGGCAGCAAUUUCAAGCUUCAUGGAGUUAAAUUCGCCAGUUGUAUCAAUUAUUUGACCUUUCGACUUCAUGUGGCCGAACUGCAUCAAAACUACUGGUCCAAAAAAUAGAUGUCUUGAUCUCUGAUCACCACAUUGGCUACAAAAGCUGGAAUUCAAGUUCUGGACAUCAUCAAAGCUCCGCUUCAGUUAUCCUAGUUUCCAAUAUAUUUUGGUUUAAGGUGGCAGCGUUGCCAAAUUCAUAUAUUCCAUUGUGAGAUUCUGGUUGCAUUGAAUAGUGUGAAUGUGUCGAUCGGUAACCUUGACAAUAAAACGCCUCAUGGUGGUUCUUAAUAAUGGUGGGUCGUUAUGUAAACGUGAGGUGGUUCAUUAAACAAGCAAUCUAUGAAAUCAUAAGCACUGGAAUGUGGAUCUACAGUUAAUUGGCUUAAAUGGUCAAGUGGCCUUCUCUGCGUGUAGAUGGUUGGAAAUUAAUGCACCAUCCAACUUUAGAUUGCAACUUAGGAGGAGGGUGACCACCAAGGCAUGGCCAAGUUCAUCAUAUACAAGGAAAACUUAAAUCGACAAACUUUGACGAGAAGAGGAUGGAGCACAUGAGGGGCAAGAAAGGCACCUGACAUUAUAAUUAAAAUAGCAUUUAGAUAUCCGACUAUUACUUCAUAACAUGCCUCUUGGCAUUACUUAAACUCAAUGCUGCAAAAUUCAAAUCGCUUAACUUGUCUACAUCGUUCAUCAAGUGGAAUCGGUCAAAAUAAAUAAAUAGAAAGUUGCUCGACUCAGAAUUCGGAGCUACUUGUGACAAUAGGUAAAUGUCAUGCACAUCAACCGGAUAUGAUUAAUUAGAUCUAACUACCUUGGUGAAUUGCAUCAAACAUGCAUUUUCAUAAAAAUCCAUUAAACUGUAUAUAUAUUAGCCCUGUUUUAUGCAAAUUGUUUGAAGAUACUUCUUUAUUGGAGUUUAAUACAAUAAAUGCGAGCUUAAAUGAGUCCUUGCACCUCAGAUGGGUGAAGUGGGUGAAAUCACGAAUAUGGUGUGAAAAAUUAUUGGUUAGAACUGUAACAGAUACGGUGCUCAAAAUUAUUGGUUAAAACUAUUCUUUCAAGUGUAUCUCAUAUUAUCUAAGAAAGUAAAUAUUUUUUUAUUCAAAAUAGUAAAAAAAUAUCUGAUUAAUUAUAGUCAGAAAUAUUUUUUUUCUAUUUAAAAUUUUCUAUCAAACUUACAUAAUGAUGUAUUUUUUUUUUUUAUAAUAGAUGAUGUGUUAACUCCUUAUUGGAUGAUGUAAGAUACACAUAUUUUAAAAAAAUUAUUGAUUAAAAUCAUUUUUUCACGUAUAAUUUAUACCAUUCAGUAAAAAAUGAUUACAUAAUUUCUAAUCGAUAAUUUCUCCAUCUUCUAACGGAUCAUCCUCUACGCUACUGAUCCACGUAAUCUCAACAAGGCCCCACAUAUUUUCUCGUGAAGGAAUAGAGAUGUUCUCUCGCAAAAGCAAAAUAAAACGACAUACAUGGUGAACCAGGGCUUCCGAGAUGACCCCUCUCCAUUUCUCCCCUCCUAUUCUCUCAUGUUCCCCUUCUCUCUCUAUGCCAUCGAUCCGAAGAAACCCUAGAAAUCCCUCAGAGCUCCAAUCGGAGGACAGGCAGAAGAAGUCUCGCCGCGAUGCGGAGGGUCGCUCUCAUCGCCGCUGCCGCCUCCUCGUCCUCUCGGAGUCCGAUCCACAAACCCCCUCCCUAUGGGAUGAUAUCUGCUCGCUCACCACCUCCCUCAUCGGCCACGCCUUCGCAUCAGUCUUUCCAUGUGACCUUUGAAGUCAAGGUUCCCCCUCACCAAGGAAUGUAUCAUCACUAAGAGACGCUUUGGGCGGGGGGUUGGUGAUCCAAACAAUGGCAACCGAGGUCCGACGAUGGCCGGAUACGUUCGGGACUCGACAUGCUAUUAUUAUUAAUAUUAUUAAGUCUCGGAUGAAGACGGAGAUGCGCUCAAAUUUAAAUUGUUGGAUCAAUAGAGAAUGGUUAACAGAGAGGGUAACAAGAAAUUGGUAAAGGAGAAUCUGGACGGAUGGAGUCCAUCAAUUACUUGAGCGCUUUAACUAUGAUAGUGUCUGCAGUGAUUCCUCGCAGUCGGGCUUGAACAAAUCCCGGCAGGGGCUGGCCGUGUCAGAUACUAGUUCAGACUUGGUUUGUUCAUUUAACCACGGGGUUAUUCCUUGUAGUCAGUCUAGCAAUCAGCAGACCUGGUUUUGGGAUUUUUGUUUGUUUUUUGAUCGAGUGCUGCUUCCCAACACCAUUCAAGCUUUCUAUAAAUCUAUCUAAUAGGUUGACGCAGAGUUGGUGAUUAUGGAAUACACAGGAUAGAGGGAUGAAUUUGCCCCCAUUGCCUCAUCCAAAGUUGGUGGUUGAAAAGUAAAAGAAUUUUUUGGGUAUAUAUUUUUUUAAAUAUUUAAAUUCACAUAAAUAUCUUCAUAAAAAUUUACUAUAUACAUAUAUAUAAAAACUAUAAAUAAAUUCUUAGCUCUACUUUCAACUUAAAAGCAGCUCUCUAAAUGAGCUUUAUAUAAAAGUACCUAUCCAUUCUAAACAUAAGUUAAAAGCAACUAACCAUUUUGGCUGAAAUUAUUCUUAUACCCUUGUACCUUUUAAAAUACUGUAGUAUUACAUUAUCAUAGUGCGGUAUUUUUUUACAAUAAGACAGUAUUACAUCAUAUUAGUGUAGUAUUUUUUUAUAAUAAUGCAGUAUUUUUUUAUUAUAUUAUAUUAAUAUAGUAUUUUUUUUACAAUAAGAUAGUAUUACAUUAUCAUAGUGUAGUAUUUUUUUAUUAUAGUACUACUUUACAACAAUACAGCGUUACUUUAUAAUAGUGUAAUAUAACUUUAUAAUAGUAUAGUAUUAUUUUAUAAUAGUAUAGUGUUACUUUAUUAUAGUGUAAUAUUAUUUUAUUAUAAUAUAGUAUUACUUUAUAAUAGUAUAGUGUUGCUUUAUAAAUGUAAGGGUAAUUGGGUCAUUUCAUCCAUUUGGGUACCUGCUUUUAAAUUAUGUUUCAAAUGGGGAGAAUUUUUUACUUGAAACUUAAGUGGAUAGUUACUUUUAAGUUCAAACGUAAUUAGAUAUUUCUCAUUAAUUUUUUCUAUAUAUAAAUAUUUUUAUAAUUUUUUUUUACAUAUCUAUCCAUAAAGAUAUUUUAGUCAUUUAAAUUUUAAAUUAUUAAUUUUUUAAUGACAUCAGAUGAUGUUGAUAUAUAUGCAAAAAAAAUAAGAAAAAAAAGUAUAUAUACAAAAUAAAUAUUUUAUGAAGAUAUAUAUGUAAAUAUCAAUUUUGGAAGAAUAUUUACAUAAAUUUAAAAAUUUUAAAAUAUAUAUAUGUAAAAAGUUUUAAUUAAAAUGCUCUCAAAUAUAAAAAUACCGACUCUUCAUAAUCCAUAUGUACGGCUUAUAAAUGAAAAAAAAAAAAAGAAUAUGAAAGCAUAGCUAUUGUUUCACAUGACAGUAACACGUGGUCCUUGGUUUUUAAUAUUUAAAAAAAGGAAGACAUGGGGUUCCAUCUCUAACUGCUCUAGGAAAGUCCAGCAAAAGUCCUCUUUGGGAGUUUGCCUCGGCCUGAAGCCACCCUCUCUUCUCCAUGGACAUGUUGGCUUUAAUUUUGGAGAAAUCAUAGUGAUGCAUAUUUAGUCUCACAAUGAUUAUACAGUAGAUAAAAUCUGGAUGUUUAUGUAGGAUCAGAAAAUUCAACUAAUAUAUUCUAAUUAAUCUUUUUGUGUAAAAUUUUGACUUUUUGUUACAAGAAUCAAAGUAGAUACAGCCAAUGAUAAAUGUAGACCAGAAGAUACUUCUAUUAUUGAUGCAGGCGAGUUUUGCCCCAAGGUGGGUCUAUUUUCCAGUGCAUAUGGGCUGCCAUGAUGGUGCACAGUGCACUGUAUGGGUUGGGAUGUUUGGUGGCCUGGCCCGUAGCUGAGGAACUGUGGGAGGGCCUUCCAUAUGCUCAGUUACCUACUAUGGUUGUUGUUUCAAUAACCAAAAAAAAAACUGUUUUUAGAUUUAAACAAAAAGAACUAUAUUUAUUUACAAGGUCUAGUCAUCUACAUUGCUUUAAAUAAUAUGUAACAAGUAUCACAGAAUGUAUUAUCGAUUGCCAGACCAAAAAACAGUGGAUGUUAUGUGAUUAUGUCAUUUUAUUUGCUUAUGUGAUUGUUCAUAGGCUUGGCAUCAACAAUUGAAAUUAAGUAUAACUUAUUUUAAUCACAUGAUAACAAAUUUUGUAGGACAAUAUAAUUAGAUCCAACUUUUGCGGCUCUGAUAAUUUUUCGUGGUUCUGAACGGGGCAUUUUUUCGCUACUAAAUGGAAAUGCCUUUCCCCUGUCACUCUAGCUUACCCCAUCCAUGCUUCAGCUCCAAAAGCUGAAAUUUUUAUAUGAUAUGUAUUUACUAUUAAGGUUGCAUGACUAUUUAAGAAAAAUUGUGCAGUAAUCUUCGCUUUUCUAACAUUUUUUUAGACAUCGUGGGGUCAAUUUGAGCUCACCAAUCUCCUCUGUAUCACACUUAUUUCAAAUGGACACAAAGAAUGGACCAAAAUAAACUAUGAAACAACAAAGCCUACAUUUUUCUCUCUUUUGCAAAAAUGUUAUACUUAUAUUCGUUCAAAAAAGCUACUAAACAUAUAUUCUUACUCACAUGUUUGAGUAGUAAAUCAUAACCAUACACUUAGUGUUCCAUGAAAAUCUUCUCCAGUGCAUUUUUUUCAUAAAGCAAAAUCUUCAGACUCAUCAACUUUAAAUGAGCUCGUAUUCAAGAGGAUUUUAAAACAUAUGAAUGUUUUCUUUUUAUAUAUUGUAGCUAGUAUUUCGGAUUGGCUUUAAUUUUUUUAUUUUAAAUUUUUUUACAUAUAUAUCCUUCUAAACAUUCAAAUUUUUAUGAAUAUUCUUAUAAAAUUACUAUUUACAUAUAUAUUCUUAUAAAUUUUUCUUUUUGUACAUCUACUCAGAAGGAUAUUUUAGUUAUUUUAAUUUUAAACCAUUAAUUUUUAACAACAUUAAAUAAUAUGAGUAUAUAUGUCAAAAAAAAUAUUUUAUGGGGAUAUACAUGCAUAUAUCGAUUUUGAAUGAGUAUACAUACAAAUUGGAAUGUUUAGGAGAGUAUACUGUCAUGUGAAAUAAUAGUUACGCUUCCUUUUUUUUUUUUUUUUUCAUUUAUAGACUCCACAUAUGGACCAUGGAGAGUUGGUAUGUUUAUAUUUGAGAGCAUUUUAAUUAAAGAUAAGCGCAAAAACAACAUAUCCAAAAACUCAACCAUACCAAGUUGCCACUCACAUAUUUGGUGGUUGUCCUAUUACUAUCUCAAUGACCACAAAAAUUUGAUCAUAAUAAUAUCAAUCACCUACCAGCAUUAUUUAGAUAUGAAGAUUUCUAAAACCUUGUACAUCAUCAAGUAUAACCCUGUUUAGAGCUUGGCCCACCUAGCGCCUUGAUGGACAGACCAAAUUUAUAAAAUAAUUUCUUGAAAAAUUAAUGAUUAAAUAUUUUUAUAUAAAUUCUUACAUAUUUAUAGUUAAUAAUCUAAUUAUACAUAUAUAUAUUUUUUUCCUACCAUAGUUCCCAUUGAAUAUGAUCGGUCCUGCUACUGGUAAAUUCCAAUCCUCUAUUAUGGUGCCUUUUGUUUUCAAUUUAUUAGUGCUUGGCAUCAAAGUGUUUUAUUCUAAUGCUAUCAGUUUUAGCUUGCUUCUCUCGUAUUCUUUAGUAUGGUGGGUUUCUCUUUUUAUUUUGGUUUGGGAUGAGUUCAAUUAUGUGCCAAGUCUAUGCAUUCUUGUUCCUAUCAUGUUUCUGGCGGGAGGGGGGGGCGGUUUGUUGGUUUGUAGGGGGUGUAAGGUAUAUCACACCUAAUGUUACAGUCUUGUGCAGGUUUGGAUUGUAUCUUUCGUAUGAAUGAAUGAUUAAUUUAGAUUUAUGGACUUAAUCAUUAGAUUAUAUUUUGGAUUCCUUGCUCUAAAUAUCUUCGAAAAGAGGACUAGAUUUUAGAACCAUAAGAAUGAAGAAGAAUGCUUGACCAAAAUAUAUAAUUGGCAUAGUUUUCGAAAUAUGAUAUUAGUUUCAUGAUUUAUACUAUGGAUGAAAAGAAGUAGAUCACCAUAUUUUAAAAGCUAUACAACGUACGACUUGUUGGGAUAGAUCCUCAUCACUUAGAUGACUAUCCCUCUUUCUCAUCUUACUGCCGACUAAGUGCACGAUGACUGUCUCUUUCUUGUCUCUGCACCGAUUAAGCGUAUAACAUUAUGGAUCAAGCCGACUCUUAGAUCAACAGGAUUUGGCCUAGUCGAUAUUCAACCGACUAAGAUUGAUAGAACUUGACCAAGUCGGCAACCAACUUGGUUCGACAUACAGUCGACGGAUGGCCAACUAACCAAUCGACAUAUAGUCGGUAUUUGAUCGCCAUAUACUCAGCGCCAUACCGUCUAUCUAAAUCCCAUAUAUGUGGAGAUCAAAUAACGGUUAUUCGGUAUGAACAGUAACUACAUACGAAUGUAGAGCACAAUAGCCAUCCACGAGCAGCCCAUUACUCGACUUUAAUAGCAGUUAAUAAGGUAACCACCCAUUAAAUACUAUAACUCCUAUGUCCUAAAUAUUCAGAGGUGAGAGUUAUAUAAUAACGGCUUUGCUCAUUUUAUAUAAACUAGUAAAUUACAGGGGAUCAAGUAAGCUAAGCUAAAUAUGGACUUUUGAGCUCUCAUUUUUGGCUCUCGGCUGUGCCCUUUCUUAAGCUAAUUUAAGCAUCGAAGGAUCCCUCGCUAAACAACUUCCAGCAAGAGGACUUGUUUUGCAGGUUUAUUGUCACCCACCACUCCAACGCAUCAACUUGGCUCACCAUCGACCAUCUCAUAGGAGAUUGGCUGCAAUAUGGCCUAAUAAUUGAGAUUGUUAAAUAAGAUCAAUCAAUCAUCUCCAUAAAAGACACAUUCUGACUAGUUUUGUACUGUAUUAUCUUUCCUCUUUUAAUGUAGGUUUGUUCUACUGAUGUUAUACCUAUACAAUACAUGAAAGGGGAGUUCAGGGCUCCCCAAGCACGUCACAUGCCACCUGUUAGAGCACACACAUAUCAGUGCCCUGGCUAUUGAAUCCCCUUUCAAUGGUGGAGAAGCCCGAAGGGAGGGCAAAUAGAAAGGUCAACCAUCAAGCUUGCAGUAGAGGAGAAGGUCCAUGCCCAUUGAUGAUGUUUCUCAACAAAAGGGAGCACAAGUUCACACCAGAAGCUACUGCUUCUGCCUAACGUACAUUGCCAACUCAGCAUCCAAUUGGAUCUGUAGCCAACCUGUCAUGAAGAGAGCGAAAAAAAAGAAAAGGGCAUGUGGAUUUGGAAGUGACAUAACAAGAACGUGCAUUCUCUUUUGAUUAUAGGCUUAAGGUUUAAGAAAAGAAAUCUCAGAAGCUUUAAUUAGAGGGAGCAAGUUUUUGGAUAAAAAGAACGGAGGACAUCGAUGGAAAAUAUGGAAUGUCUUAUCACUCUCACUGCUUCCAGUUAUAUAUAUGUGGGAAGUUUGAAAGAUUCAUUCAAGCACAGACGAGUUCAAAGCUAAAUAGAGAAGGUGAGGUGUUUUUUUUUUGGUGGGGGUCUGUCUCUGAUUGUUUUUUCUCUUUUCUUUUUGAUAAGAUUUAUUGACGAUCAGAGAGAUCAAAAAGGAUGAUAAUAGAUAAAAAGGGAUCAAAGAGGGUGACAACAGACGAGUUUCAACUCCUCUUUUUUUUUUGGUUUGCUUUUUCCUCAUUAGUUUAGUCUGAAGCUCUUUCAUUGUAGUAUCAGAAACAACAUUGUGUUUCUUAUUAAGAAUGGAGGAGAGUUGCUGCCCAAAUUUUGGCAGCCUUCCACUUCUUUAUUAAAAAAUAUCAUAUGAGGGAGGAAAGAGACAAUGGCUUGCUGCCACGUUAUAGCAGUCUUGCUCAAUGUCCGCAUGAAAGUAAAAAAAAAAAUAUAUAUAAUAUCAUGGUUGCUGCUACCACUCUACAGUCUUUCAGUGAAGAGAAAAAGGAAGGAAGAGAGGGUUGCUGCCAUGCCAUGGCAGCCUUCCUCAAUGCCCCCUAAGAGAGAAAUUAAGAGUCACGGUUGCUGCUAAAUAGUAGUCUUCCAAUGAAGAGAAAAAAGAAAGGACAGAGGGUUGCUGUGAUUAAGGAUUCGAUGAAUCGAGAGAGAUAAAUGGGUUAAGUGGGAAAAAGCAGCAUACAGGUUAAUGGGUUUAGAAUGGUCUAGCUCCAGAUCCGUAGUCACAGGUUAAUGGGUAGACCAAAUGGAUCAUCGAUUCAUGGGCUAAUGGUUUAACGGGUCCAAAAUAUUUGGAUUCAAAUUGUUGGGUUAGUGGAUGCAAGAAUCGGAUUUUGAAUAUUUGGGUUAGCGGGUUAUUGAAGCCCGUUUGCUGUUAGGGUUAGGGUCAGGGUUAGACUGGCUUGGGUUAAUUGUUCAGCUAGGGUUUGGAUUAGGGUCAGGGGGUUGGGUAUAGUUUGAGUUAGGGUAGGACUAGGAUUAGUUACUGUUGGGGGUUAGGGUUAGGGUUAUGAUCAGACGUCUGAUUAGGAUUAGGGGGUCUACAGUUAGGGUUAGAGUUAGGGCGGGCUUGCAGACAGGGUUGGUUUAGAGAAGGAAACAUCGGAAAAAAAAUAGAAAUAAACAUUUGAGAAAAGGAAGAGAGGGAUGGUGUUUGGAUCAGAAUGAAAAGAAAGAAAAAAUAUAGAAAGAAAAUAAAUAAUAAGUGAGGGAUUAUGGUUAUGGUGCAAGGAGAGUUGGAUCGGACAAAAGAACAAAAAAAAAGAGAAACAAAGCAAUAGGAUUAGGAUCGGGAUGAAGAACAAAAAAAAAUCAAAUAAGGGAUGAAGAACAAGAACAGCACUUUAACCACUCUGCAUAGGUCAGCUUUGAGGGCUUGUAUGCUGUGCCGGCAUCGAAGGGGAGGAAGGCGACGACGAAGACCCAGAGGUGGAUGGCCAUGCGAUGGAUGACGUCCACAGCUCAAAGGGAGAGGCAGUGGAGGACAUCGGAGACAAUCUGUAGGGUGGAUGCUGGUGGAGAGAGGGAGAGGGAGUGGCAGAGGAGGGAGCUGGCGAGGACAAUGACAGUGGUGGUGCCAAGGGUAGGGAAAGGAAGCAGGGGCGGGGGAGGGGGGUGCGAUGCAGACAUAGGGGGUGGCUGGUUGGUGGCAGGGGGUGAGGAAAGAAAACAGGAAGGGCAGAGUCCUAAGGCCCGGGGGCCAUCAUCGAUGAACGAAAAUGUUGGCCACGUAGAAAGGGGGUCGGGCGGGAGAUGAGGGAGGAGAAGGGGGCGGUAAUGGAGGGUGAGGGGCGGCCGAUCUGGAGGUUUUGGAGUGCACCGGCCACCAAGGGGGGGUUGGAUUCAUGUUGGGGUUGAAGCCAAGGGGGGUCGAUGGAUGCCGGAGGGGUAGAGCUGGGAGGACCUCAUGGUUGGCCUCAAGGUUUAGGAGGGGGGGUGCAAUAAGAGAAGGAGAGCAUUGGUGGGGGAAUAUGAGGGGGAGGGGAAGGUUUUGGGAGCAACGACGGUGGUGGAUGGGUGAGAGAGGAUUAGGGCCCAUGGGAGAGAAACGGGGAGGAGAGAUUGUGGGGGGACGGGUGAAGAGAGGGGGCUGCACCAUUAGGGGAUGGCGGACGAAGGAACAAAAGAGGCUACGAUUUGCGGAUUGAGAGUGGGGAGGUAUGAUCUAGAGCAUAGAGAAUGAGUUAGAAAGUUUUGGAUAGAAUUUUUUUAAAAAAAGAUAUUUUUGCAAAAAGCUCUCUCUACUUAUUAUUUUUAUAGAGCAAUCCAUCAUUUCAUUGUAAUUACAAAAAAAAAUUAAAUUAUAAAAAAUAUUUUAAAAAAUUAUUAAUAAAAUUUUGUUAAAUUUUAGCAAUAUACAAAAAUAAAAAAAUAUUACUUAUUUUGAAAGAAAGGUUGCAUAGAUUCCAAAGUUGUGGUAGCAUUUUUGAUAAAUUUUUUUUGAUAACUACAAAAAUAUUUCUUAGUAGUAAAAAUAUAAUAAUCUAAUAUAUAAUAUUCAUCUAAUAUUAUAAUAAUAAUACAAUAGUAUACUAUCUAGAUAUAAUAAUAUAUACAAAUAUAAUAUAAUAUAAUGUAAUAUAUUAUUGUAUAUAAUAAUAUAAUACUAUGAUAAUAUAAUAAAAUAAUAUGUUAUUAUAUACAAUAAUAUAUAUUAUAUUAUGUUAUAUUAAUAUAAGAUAUUAACAUAAUAUACAUAGUAUAUUAUAAUAUACUAUAAUAUAUUAUAAUAAUGGUAUAACAAUGUAUAAUAAUAUUAACAUGAUAUAUUAAUAUAUUAUACUAUAAUAAUAUAGUAUAAUAUAAUAUUAUAUUAUACUAUUUUAACAUAAUAUACUAUAUAAUAAUAUUUAUAUAAAAAUAUUAUAACAUAUUAUUAUAGUAUAAUAUAAUAUCUUAUAUUAUUAUAAUAUAUAAUUAUUAUAUCUUUUUAUGAGUAAAUUCUUUUUUAUCAGUAAAUUCUAAGGUAUAUAUAAAGUACAGUUUAUAAUUUUGUCUAGAAUGUAGUUAUUGGUGUUGGACCGAUGGAGUGUUUUUCAAUUUUUUUAUUAUAUUAUUGACGAUCCAAAAAAAGAUAUAAAAAAAGUGAUAUAUAUAUUUUUUACAUAUGCAGUGCAAUAUUUUAGUAUUAGAAUUUCACUUUUAUUUAUUUUUUGUUAUUCAUCCCAAAAUUUUGGUAACGUAUACUUUUUAGUUAUAUUAAACUUCAAAUUUUGAAAGUCUAAAUAAUUUAGGAUAUAUAUGAUAUUUUUUUUUAAAUUUUUUAUAUUUAUUAUUAAAAAAUAGUAAUUUUAAAAAGGACUCCCAUAGCAAUAAGGAGUGUAGCACAAUGAGCAUAUGUUAGAGAAAUAGUCAGAGAAUUGAACGAAUAUAAAAUAGAAUUCAAUAUUGACAUGCUUGACCAUAUCAAGAUAGUCAAAAAAAAGAUCCAAGAAAUCAUAUUUGCGGAAAACAUUAUGAAUGAAGAAGAAAGAUUCUUAAAAUUGAGAGCGACUUUAUCUGAACUUUGGCAAUGUCUUUUAGCUCAUUUUUAGGGAUCACCGACAUCAUAAAAAAACUAUUCCUGAUUAGUGAAGAGUUUUGUUGAUGAGUACAUAAAAAGAAACAUAACUCGAUUAGCCAUUCUUUCUUUGUGUCCUAAUUUUCAUUAUCAUGGACAUAUUGUGUUAGGUGAUUCAUAUCUAUUAAAAGCAAUACCUAGCCAUAUUCCUAGAGAAAUUAUAGAGUCUAUCCCAAAAAAAGUUCGAUAUAUUCAUCCUUGAUCUAUUGUAUCAAAAAAUCUUUUAUUGUGAAUAGUUCUUUUGGUAGUGUAAUAUUCGCCUCUAAUGUAAAUACAUGUAUGUUAUUUCCAAUCUAUGAAAUACCAUCAUGUGAUAUAUGACUUUAUAUUCAACUAUUGAAACAGGUAUAAAAAAAUAAUAUGCUAUCUUACACACUAAGAAAAUAAAAUUUAUAUAUAUUAAAGCUUAUAAAUUGAUUGUGUGAUGUACAACUCAAUAGGACAAUAGCCGCAAUUACACUUGCGGGAGAAAAGCAGGUUGUAUCUAUUAAUCCUGUACACGAAGAAACAACGAACAAAAGAACAAUUAAAGAAUUACUGGAGAUGGAUCAAUAAACCACUCAAGUACAGUAGUCAAUAUACGCAAAAGAUUUAAAAGUAUAUUUUUAUAUAUUUUAUCCUGUAACAACUUUUUUUUUUUUUAUAGGACAUAAAAUUUACGUGUAGAGCAAAAUUGAAAGCGAUUGAUAUCUUUUACGAUUGGUGGUACAAAGUAUGUUACAACUGUAGAUCUAUAAUCAAAAUAUAUAGUGAUAAUUUUUUAUGCAACCAAUAUAAUAAAAAUGACUAACCUCCGACGCCAUAAUAAACAAAUGAUGUUUCUUUUUAGAUUUUAUUAUAAUUUUAUGUAAAAUUAUAUAAUUUAUUUUUUUCUGAAUAAGUAUAUGUUCAUGUUAUCUAAAUUUUUAAGGUACAAAUUGCAUGUGAUAGUUGAGGAUCAUACUGAUGAUGUCAAUUUUAUUAUAUUCAGAAAAUAAGCUUAGCAAUUAAUUGGUAUACCGGCAUUCAACCUUGCCACUAAUCCAAGAUUAAAAAAUUUAUUUUUCCAGAUGUUAUAAAAAUAAUUCUUAACAACUGCCAUACCUUUCAAAUCAUGUUUGGUUUGCGAUAUAUUGAAAGUGCUAAUCAUAAUUUUUGAGUAAUAAAAAUUUUUAAAAAUAAUAAUCAACUCACGUAAAGCUUCCCGUGCCGAAUCAUUUUCGCUACAACUCUCAAAAAGAGUAUUAAUUUUAAUUUUUAAAAAAUAUAUAUAUUUGAAAAUUUUUGAAUAUAUCACUCUUCAAAAAAUAUGUUCUCUUACAAUCCGGUAUUAAAUUUUUGGAUCAAUUAUUUAAAAAUAUUUUUUCUAUAUAUAUAUAUUUUUUCACAGAGAUCCCACAACACCACCGGUCCGAAAAAAAAUUACAUAUUGGACAAUCCAAUAUUAUCUAACUAUUUUUUUCUAUACUUUCUGUUGUAUUUUAUGAUAACAUAAUUUUUUUUUUUUAAAAUAUUAAUGCAGCAUUGUUUUUUUUUUACCAACAGUAUAGUUGAAGAGAAAAAAAAUUGAGAGAGUACGGAUCUGUUUAUGAUUUUCUUGAUGAUGAUGUAUAUUUUAUUUUUUUAAGUAAAAUUAUAUUUUGUUUUAUGUCGAUCAAAAUUAUAAUUUUUAUUCAAAUGCGCUGCGCAGAGCGGAUCUUUGCUAGUUUGUAUAUAUCAGCUGGUUACCGAUAAAAUAAAAUAAAAUGAUCGACCGGCCAUCCUGGUCCGUUUCCUGCAAGGGCCCGCACAUUUGAUACUAAUCAGUAAUUACAAACCUGCGCGCUCGGUGGGGUGCCAGGAUGCCAAAUCCAACGCCUCUGCCGCGCGCGUCGGCACGCGUUCCCCUUUCCGUCGCUGCGCUUUCCCGCCACUCAGUACAUCCCAUCCAUCAUCAUUUAUUCCAUUAUUUAUCGCCAAUAACCUCCGAUAAAGCUCAAACCCCUCUUCCACCUCCAAACCGACUCCACUGCUCUCUCCUUGCGGAGGAAGAACAGAGCGAAAAAAGGGAUAAAAAAUGGAAGACGAUUACUCACCGGAGCCCAACAAGCUUCCCGAGCUCAAAUUAGGUAUUUUAGAACCCAUCAAACCCCCUCUACUGGGUUUUCUUGUUCCAUUUGUUGGUUUAAUCUGUUUAUUUGUAACCUAUUUUUUGGCAACUCGUCUUCCUCAGAUGCCCGACAAGCCCAGGGGUUUAUUUCCUUCUUCAAAACCCUACCCCGUGUAAGUCUCCUGCCCUCGAUCUCCAUCUAAAUUCUUAAACCCUAACAAGAAAGUUGAACAAGAAAUAUCUGCAUUUGUUUUUGUAGGAUCCUCGGGCUGUGCGCUUCUUCGAUCGCCGGGUAAGUCGAUCUUCCUUGUGUGUCAUUUGUUACCUGUAGAUAGUUCUACAUUUGGAGGUUCCAAAGCCCAGGUCUUUAGACGAUGGUAUGCUUUCUGAAGUCCAAACCGUUGAAAAAAUGGGUGUUAUUUUCCAUUAUUACAGAAGUUAAUAAAAGCCAAAAAGUUUGUUAAUGAUUCCCCCCAGCAUCCUGAUGCUGCAUAUCAUGUUUUACCAAGCAAAUUAUCAUUUUGUUCCUCGCAUUUUUAGGAGAAAAAAGAAGUGGGGAUGCAGAAAAUGAUAUGCAUAUUGUCUUAAAUCAACAGUUGUCGGGGGUUAAAUUUACGGGAAAUGUGUGAAUUAUUAAAUGGAUACAUCAGAAUUAUAUCAAGUAUUAAUUCAUCCACACAUUUUUUUGGUUACAUAAUUGAUUUCUUCUGGCUGAAAAUGCUCAUAUAUGUAGUUUCGGCUAGAGAGGAGAUUAUAUUUGUUUAUUUAUUAUUUUCACAUGAAAAUGUUGCUAAUAGAUGUCUCUUGUUCUGAAUUCUGAUUUUGAGCAACUUACCUUCACCAAAAACCUGUAUUGCAUCAGUCCAAAGAGGAACGCUGGAAAAGGAUUGAAGAUAGAGUGGUUUCAUUAUUUGAUUUUCCACAGUAUGCCUUCUGCCUAGCCCUUGAGUCUUAUGAGAUGCAUAAUACAUAUUAAAUAUAAAAUGAGUAUUUUCUUGAAGGAACUCAUGGAAAGAUAAUGAAAGGUCAGAGCUAAGAGGCACGGGAUGAGUAGUGCAAGG
RNAcentral lists this long non-coding RNA (52646 nucleotides) under Elaeis guineensis (African oil palm). RNAcentral describes it as "long non-coding RNA (EGUI_LNC006834)". Lineage: Eukaryota; Viridiplantae; Streptophyta; Magnoliopsida; Arecales; Arecaceae. The record is from RNAcentral.